UUGGGUAUCUUGUACCCCUAAUUCUACUGUCGGACACUUGUCCAUUUUUACCUCUCGUCUCACUUUUUCUUUUCUUUCGAGGUUCCGAGCACUUGCUCCUUUUUAUUUCCUCGUUUUUUUAGAGCAUUCAUCUCUUGAGAUAAUAUAGCAAGUGGUAGUAACAAGAUAACUUGAGCAUUUAUUUCACAAGGGAAAAACAGAAAUAUUUUUGGCUAUUCUCUCCCGGAUUAGGAGUAGAAUAUUUUUGGAUAAUUCUGGCGAUGGAAAUGAAUGGAUAUAUGUGGAUGGUACUUCCGGAGUAGAAGUAGCAUAUAUGAGUGAACGUGCAAGUGAAAUCUUGAUUUAACCACAUGACAAGCUCCUAAGGGUCUACACAGCUUGACCACACUCAAUGCUCAUAAGCAGUAAAUAAUAAAUGUGUGGCUUAAAGUCUAGCAAGCAUGUAUAUAUGGCUGUGGUAGGAAUUUAAACUCUCAUCAUACAGGAACUCAUCAUGGAACAUUUUAAAUAUUUUCAAACAUAAAAUUCUCCAGAAUUCUAGCAUCUCUAGAGAUGCUAGGAACAGAUAAACAGCAGCUCAACCUUCCCAUAUCGUAUCCGUUAACAACUUAGACUUCAGAUCAAAUUUUCAUCCCACAAGUUUAGGUCUAGAGCAAGCUUUAAAUUAUAACUGUUAUAUCUAAACUUGAGAGAGAACUUAAAAUGUGCAAAUUAGGCAGAGCAACUAUUCAUUAUAUCCAUGCUUAGGUUUUAUUUAGAUACAGAUUAGCAUAACCACUUUAUUUAUUUAUUAAACACACUAAGCAAAAUAUAUAUAUAUAAGCACAAAAUCUUUAUUUGGUUUUUCAUAGUUAUGUGUAUUUAUAUUCUAAAAUAAUAUAAGUAUAAAGAUAGAUAGAUAGAAAUACUUAUCGAGAUAAAUGGGGGUGCUCUCCCCCAAGCUGAAUUUUGACGUAAUUUCUCUUGAUGUAGCUAGCAGGUGGCAGAGGUGUAUUUGAAAGUCAGCAGCAUUCUGACAGCGAUUAGAAUGUCCUCCGUCUGCCAGUCUUCUUGAUUCUUAAAUUCUGUGGAGCUCAAAUAGACAACAAAGCUUGUGGAACUUGAUUAAGUGUUAGCAUAAAUAUCUAGCCUUUAUCAUGUUGAGACUCCUUAAUAAUUAUUACUCCCUGUUUUUAUAUUUUUGUUUUUAUAAAGCAGAAAAAUAUUUAUUUUAUUUUUAUGCCACCACAGUGAAUGUACUUAUGGGUUUUAUGCCACUCGUAUACUCACAUGGGGCUUACUGUUUUUCACAUUAUUAUUUUUUUUAUUUUUAAGAUAGUAUGAAUAUGAUUAACUAAGUAAACUAGUUGAAAUAAUUGAAAGAGAAAGGAUAACUACCAAGUUACCUCUUGGCAAGGCGUUCGGUGUUUUUAAGUCCUCCGAACGGGACUCUCCAUUUUCUUAAUCGUCCUGAGGUUCGUUGGGUGGCGUAGUCGGUACUUCCGGCAGCGCCUCCUCUUCAUGUAUAGUUAUCUUCAUUUUCCAUACCUGACUCGGUGCUUUAAUCUCCUCUGGAUAAUUCUGUUUAAACUCUACGUCUACUGACCUUAUAACUUCUCCUUCGUAGUCUGCCCAUCCGUCCUUGAUGAUCUGCCUCCUCUGGUUGCGGUUACGUCUUUUCCUUACCUGCUUAGAUUCUUCAACGAUAUAGUUAGGGUCAGUAAAAUAACGGCGUACCUUCUCUGAGGGGAAGUGCAUAUGGACUUCUCCGGUUCCAAUGUAGAUAAUUGCUUUAACGGUACUGAGGAACGGUCUUCCAAGGAUGAUGGGUGGAUCAUACUCAUCUUCUCCCAUGUCAAUAACUUGAAAGUCUGUGUAGACAAAAUGAUCGUCUAUUUUGACUGGGACAUCAGUUACUAUUCCCUUGACUUCUCGAAAUGUCUGAUCUGCCAUCUAGAGCUGAAUGUAUGUUGGUCUUAGUGGCAUGGUUCCGAAUAAGAGCCAAUAGGUGACUGCAGCCAUUAUGUUGACGCUCGAUCCGGUGUCGCAAAUCGUCUUGUAGAAGUUGUAUCCAUUUAUUGAGCAGUAGAUGCUUGGCAUUCCUGGGUCAUCCUUCUUGGUCAAAAGCGGUGACUUAAGUUGGUGAUCUUGGCCUCCAUGAACUACAGUGACCAUCUUAGCUGACUCGGUCCACACUUGCUUGUUCCUGUUUCUCCUGUUGGUCCUCUUCCUUGACUCACGUCUGGAUUGAUUUGGAAUUUGUGUAGUCUUGUUCUUGAAGAAAAAUGUCUCCUUCUUCCCUUUGACGUAGAAACUGAUCUUAGCAGCACUGGCGUAGAUGAUAGCUCCCGUGGUGUUCAAGAAUGGCCUCCCUAAGAUAAUAGGUGCUCUCUCAUCAUUUCCGGUCUCUACCACUACGAAGUCUGCUGGGGCAUAUAAGGUACCAACUCGGCCACAAAGGUUCUUCAAUAUUCCCUUUGGAAAAGUUAUCGUCUGAUCUGCAAACUGCAAACACAUGGUUGUUUCUAAUAAAGGAUAUGUAAAGAAUUUUUCAUAGAGUACCCUGGGUAUAAUGUUGACACUGGAGCCAAAGUCACAGAGUGCUUCUGAAACGUCCACCCUGCCGAUGGAGAUCGGGAUGACGGGGCGUCCUGGAUCGCCUCUCUUGACCGGCAGAAGGUCAGUAGAGAAUUCAGUGACGGGGUUACUCCAAUUAUUACCUGCAUCAAACAUGUCUACAAGAUUUGCAGAUUCUAAUCCUUCCGGUUGUGAUGGUAUACCGGGGUUAGUAGUAGGAACAGCAGCAACUAUUUGAUUUAACUGAGAUUCAAUCAUUUUAUUAAAGCUAAUUUGAUUCUUGAUGGCAGUAGAAAAAUUAUCCAUUCUAUUAUUUAUAUUUUCUAGCAUUUUAUCAUUAGAUGCCAAUUUCUUAGAUAGAUUAUCCAUUAGCUUGCCUUGAUUAGACACUAACUCUCUUAAAGGUGGAAAAUUAUUAUUAUUGUUAUAAGAAUUGUUACCUUGAUAAUUACCUGAGUAGUUAGGCCUCUGUUGAUUCCAACCUUGAUUUUGUUGAGGACGAUUGUAGUUGUUGUUGUUGUUGUUGAUGAUGUAGUUCACAUCCUCAAGCAUCUCAGGGCAGUGGUUGCCUGAGUGUCCAGUGUCUCCACACUCCUCACAAGUCAUGUGAGAGUCGUAGAUGUGCAUAACUUCUUUCUUGUCUCCAGCUCUAUCGUCGAGCUUCUUCAUGAGUAGGUCUAGCUUUGCAGACAGCAUGUCUACCUCCUUCAGCUGAUGCAUACCUCCACCUCUCUUGCGUGUCUGGGUCCUCUCUUCAUUCCAGCUUUGAUUGGACGCCAUCUUCUCCACAAGAGCUGUGGCUUGUGGUAUAAUAAGUGAUAAGAAUGCUCCUCCAGCUGCAGCAUCCAUGGUUUCUCGGGCACUGUUGCUGAGCCCAUGAUAAAACGUCUGCAUCAAUAGCCAACUCUCCAUUCCAUGAUGGGGACAUUCUAGGAUGUAGUCUUGAAAGCGCUCCCAUGCUUCUGGAACAGAUUCAUCAUUUUGUUGCUGAAAACUUGUAAUCUUCCCACGGAGAGCAUUGGUCUUGCCCAUGGGAAAGAACUUAGCCAGGAAGUUUGUUGAGCAGAGUGCCCACGUAGUAUUCUUCUCCUUUGUAGCGUAGAACCACUGCUUCGCUCUCCCUAACAGUGAGAAUGGGAAGAGGCGAAGUAGUAUAGCAUCUUUGGAAACUCCUGCUAUGGUGAAUGUGUUGCAAAUCUCUAGGAAGUGUUGUAAAUGAGCACUAGCAUCUUCAUGUGCCUUCCCACAGAACUGGUUGGAUUGCACCAUGUUGAUAAGUCCAGGCUUGAGCUCAAAGUUGCCAUCGAUCUCUGCAGCAGGUCCAGUGCGGAUGUUGUCCGUAGUGGGAGCUGAGAACUCGCGGAUUGAUUUAUUCGCCAUGGCUUCGAACUCUGAAGACAAGUUCCGGUGAUCUUCUUGAUUGGAUGAAGCUUCUUCGUGAAGUGUUGAUGAUCUCUUCUUGAGCUUGGCCCUCGUCUUCUUGAAUAAUGCUUCGGGAUUGUCAACAAAAUUUCCUGGAAGAUGUCUUCUAUUCAUACAUUCCCCUGCAUAAGAUAAAAUAGAAAAAUAUCGGGGUAAAACUGUAUGAGAGAAUAGAUAAGCUCAAUCAUAUUAGUGAUGCGAAUGAUAACUCAAAAUCUUUUAUUCUAUUCCUGAUUGGUAAUCAACCUUCCCCGGCAACGGCGCCAAAAAUGCUUGUUGGGUAUUCUUAACAUCAUUACCAAAAGUAGACUAAGUUCUCUAAAUCUAGUAACGGUGCCAAAAAUGCCAAACCUAUCCCUUACACCACUUAAGCCAAGUUGUCAUCCCCAGCAUGAUAUAAGAGACGCGGUAUUGAAAUAUGCAAUUGCUCUUCUAAAUAAAAAAUGAAUGGGAUCUGCAAGCGCACAGAUUAAUACCGAUGUAGCAUUUUAACCGGGAAGUAUUCCAGGUAUCGUUAUUUAUAUUUUUACCACUGGGAAGGGAUUAACGAUCAUCACUAUUGAUUACAGAAUAGAAUAUGAGAUUGAGCAUCUAUCAUUGCAUGUAUAAUUGAGAACAUUAUAUCUAACUCUUCAUACAGGGAUAAGUGUCACAUAAAAGAUAUAUAUAAUAAUAAUAGUGACAAGGAUAACUAAUCUGAUCUAGCCACAUAAUAAAUAUGAUAAGCACCCCAAUUAGAUACUCUAGAAAGUCAUUAGCAUGGUAUUAGAAUGAACUACAAGAAUAUUUCCUAAGUUAUUCUCAACUAUAUAGUCUAGCAUUAUCAUAGUUAGUGCAAGCAUACUUAGCAAUCAUUGCGAGACAAGACUACGCCCAUGCAUAGUGAUAUUAGCAAGGAAUAUGAGAAACAUAGCAAUCACUCCCCUGUAAUAAUGUUGCUCUGCCAGCCCAAUACACGAGAGGGGGACUAUAUAAGAAUCAAUGAAGCUGUCACUAUCACGAACCACCCCACGAUCUGGCAUAUUGGGUACAAUCGCAGACAAAUACGGUAUAAGCACCACGCCUACACAAUAUCUAUCAUUUACACAUGGAUCCGAUGGAUAAACACUAUACGAUCCUAAGCAUGUAUAUAGAUCCAAUCUAACUAAGCCAAGUACAUAACUAUGAUAAACUAAGAACAAUAUAAUCUUGAAUAUAAGCAAGUAGAGCAAAGUCAUAAGCAAUAUAUUGAAAUAGAACAAAGUCAUAUUCAUAAUAUUGAAGAACAAAGAUAAUUAGAAAGCAAUUAGAAGCACAAUUAGAGAAUUACCAAGAAUCCUCUUGACAGAUCCGGAAACCAAUCGAAGAUUGACUCCUUCUAGUUCUAAUCCUAUGUAGCUAUGCUAAUCUAGAUAUCUAAUUGAUGUGGUGGCUCUAAUCUUGAUCAGAGGCUUCUUCUCCCUUGAUGGAACAAUGAAUUAGGGUUGAGAGGCUCUCUCCUCCAGGGGCCAGGAGGUCUGGUUUUAUAGUCCCUUCAAGUGAAUAUGGGCCCUUGGAUCAAACCGACAUAGAUUGUAUGGUUUAGAUUCAUCCUUUAGGUCGGUGGAGAUCUUCCGCAAAGCAGAGUCCUGAUUGGACUCAGGAGGUGGGCGGGCGCCCUGAUCACCUGGGCGGGCGCCCAGGGUUAGGCCCCGUUUCACCUCCGCUUCGGUCUCGUGGCUUCUGGAGUCUUCUAGAUGUAAGAUAAUUGCGCAGCACGUUAAUAUCUUUACGUAAUCCCGACAUGUGGGCCUUUCUUCCAUAUUUCCUGAUAACCCCCUGCAGAAAUAGACAAACACCAAAACUCGUGGAAUUCUGUAAGAUAAAACCCUAAGUCUAGAUGUUGAUUUCAUUUGGAUCCUUUUCAUUAUUUAUUUGAUAAUUAAAUUUGAUACUUAAGGACCGUCAACAGUAUGUUCCUCCUUAGAACCUCUGCCCGGGUUCUAAGGAACAAAACUGUGAAACCUGCCACCGAUGGUUUUGAGGCCUAAACUACCAAACCGUUCGUGAGUGUAGCGUACUCCAUACGUGUCUCCCGCCACUCAACACAUGUCAUCACCAUCCUCGACCAACUGACCCACCAUGUCCUCCUGAGCCUCACUCGACUCACACAUUCACCAUCUUGACUCAAUCAACAUGGUCACUCCUAUGUACACUUAUACUUGUCAAUGUCCCAGAUAUCAGCCAUGCACCAUGGUUGGUCACUCGGCCUCCUGGACCCAUGAUCCAAGCCUCACAUUCGUUCUUCACUACUCCUGAUCCAUCAGCAUGGCACAUCCCUACUUGACCCUUACCUCACCAUUGACCACCGCCUCCGAGCUCCACACCUGCACAAACACAAGCCAAGAGACAUGUUGCAUGACCCAACUCACACCAAUGGUGUAAUACCCGAUUUUAAGGACAAAAUCAGAUAUGCACCAUAUGUGAGUCUUAGAAGGCAAAUCUCACAUAUAGCUACAAAUAAGGGGUAAUAUCAAAAGACAAUGCAUAAAUUAUAUAACAUACUUAGUAUAAAAAAGAUAACCUUUGAUAGCAAACAGCGGAUAGACAACUCCAAACUUCGGGUAUUAACUCCUCUCUACAGGAUCCAACUAACUGGUUGAUCACAAGCCUAACACUUCUCCUGAGGUUUGGGGGAAAUAGCAAGAGUGAGUCCAUGUCGAACUCCACAAAUAUAGCAACUAGGUUGUAUAGCUCCCACAAUCUCAUGAUCAAUGUGACAUAAUUAAUGUAAAGCAUUAAACAAUAAAUAAUGAGCAUAUUUAACACACAGGAAUCAUCACCCUUAAUGCAAGAAUCCCCAAGGCCGCUCUUGACCGUGAGCACGACUAGUAUACUAGUUUAAGCACUCUGUAGAGGUUGCACAUCUUUACCCAUGAGUCAUGAUUUACCCUUUCGCCCGAGGUGAUCAGCCUCUUAACCCACUUCCAAGGAAGGUUGGUAGGGAUCACUAUGAAGCCUUUCAAAGGUUUCAUCUAACAAGUUAGGGCCAUUAGAUUCACUCGGCAGGUAGAUAUAGAGCCCCCCUUCCAUGGCACAUAACCCGCAGCCUAUUCACAUGGACAGAGGCCGCACUAUACCCAACGUGUCUAGCCAUUCUUACGCCAUUUAAGGUAACUGCUAACAAGCUAGAAAAAGGUCCUCAUACUGAGCUAAAGCCAGAACCAUUAUAGCCCUCAUGGUUGCACUAUUGUCCCGGUUAUCACUUACAGAUAAAUCAUCAAGUUGCUAAAAAGUCAUCUUUAUCGCUUAUUACUUAACAUUAAUCUAGUCACAGGAUCAUGGUCACAGAAAUAAAACCUAAAUGCUAUACUUGCCUUAAUCCAAAUGCUCUUGUUGAUCCUACUGGCCUUACUAGUUUCCAAGACUCUGAUCUUGAUCACUGAAGCACUCUUGAUCACCACGAAUUGCUCACCAACUAAUUUCGAUCAUCGAUCACAAACAUACGGAAACAAACAUACACGAAGCAAACAAGGCUACAAUUAGAAUAGUACACUAAUCAUAUAAAAAUAGUAUGAAAAGUUUAUAAAAAGAUUCUACGCAUCGCUACGAUCACACGAACGUAAAGAUCACGAAAGUCGGAGCUAAAACGGAAAAGUUAUGAAUUUUCUAAGAUUUCCUUUAGAAAAAUAAUUAAUUAAUUAGGGUCACGAAAAUAAAAGGUUUUAAACUUAGAAAACAGUGUUACUAACAUGUAGAGCUCAUUAAUACGAAUCCAACGCAAUUUGAAUGGGUCAAAACGGAGUUAAGAUGAAUAUUUUAUGGCCAAAAAAAGUUAGUGGCAAUUCUGUAAAUAGUGAAAACGUAUUUUUAAUCUAAAACCGAGUUGUUUGUGUUUUUCAAACUAAAAGACAGUGAUUAGGGCUUACGUUGGUGGACAAAGAGCAGGUUCACUGGCAGCGACGCUUUCUUGGAGCUACCGCAACGCCGGAGCAGCCGACCGCUCGUAGAUAUCGUGUAUAGGCGAGACGAUGGCGAUCACGUUGUAGAGAAGAAAAUAUAAUUUUAUUUUACUACCUUAGAAAUUCUCAAAUUAGAGGUUUUCUAUAUGGUAGUCUUUGGUGUGCUUUGCCUAAGGGGUUGGUACAUAUAUAUAGGGAGAAAAACUCCCCACCUCCACGUCAACUAGCGAUAUGGUACUAAUUGAUUUGCAACCUUCAUCUUUACUAAUAGGCCUAAUUAAUUAUUAAAGCCCAUUAGUAAAUAAAUACAUGGUUUUUGGGAUUUAUUAUGGGCUUUGACGUUGGAAAAAUAAUAAGAGAUUUAUUAUUUUCGGAAUUAAUUAUUUUCAUUGAUAAAAUAAUUCUAGAAAAGUUUAGAAUUAGUAGUUAAGCCACAAAAAAUACUCCGAAAGCUCUGAAAAUUUGGGAAAAAUUCUCAGAGAUAUUAUAGAACAUGGGGAAUCCGAAUAAAGUUUUUAGAGCUCAUGAUAAGAUUGUUUGGAGCAUCUAAAAAUUAGAUCAUGCUCAGAGAAAAGUGAGAAGAGAAGAUGGAAAAAUUUCCGAAAAGUUUGUAGAGAUUGCUUGAUGGACGAGGAACUAAAAGAAGUGCUUUGAGUGACAAAGAAAAGAUUUUUAGGAAGCUCCUAAUAAAAACUUGAGUUGAGAAACAAGAAAUUUAUUUGAUAAAGAUAAAGACGUACUGGUCAAUAAGGAAGAUCGAUCUACUAAACGCAUUUUAAAAACUUCGCCCACUCAACACAUAAAGGAGCAACAAGCAUCACAUCAAAAUAUAUGAACUAGCAUAUAUGCAUAAUAAUAUUGCUAAGCCUUAUGAUAAAUUUUAAUUUAAUAAAAAAUAUUAUUUUUUCCUAUAUUUUCAUGAACACAAAAAUAUAAAAUUAAAUAAUUUUAUCUAUAUUUCAAAAGGAGUAAAUUUUAGGGUGUUACAAAUGGUUAGUCACCAACUCAACCUAGGUCAUAGAUCAUGUUGACAAUCACUCAUCACAAAUCAAACCACAAUGGCAUAUAUCAACCAUGUGUUCACAAUCUCCCCCUUGAUGAGUUCAUUGUCAACACAAACAUAUGAACUGCUUGAGCAAAAUAAGAAGAAGAAGAAGAAGAAAAGAGAACUCACCCAAAUGACCAAAAGCCAAAGAAAAGCCAAAACAAGGUCAUUUGAAAUGAGCAACACUUGCAAAACUUGGUCCCCAAAGACAUAGGCAACGACUUCAUGCAACCAAGUAAAACAUAGCUAGCCCAUAAGAAGAGGUAAGCAGGCUCAACAUCACUAGCAAAAGUAGCUCAAAUGCAACUCCCCCUGAUCAAAUGCAAUCUCUCUCAAAUGAAUGCAUGCACUCAACAUUAGGUUGAAAUUGUAUCUAUCUCCCUGUAACUUUGUCCCCCUUGUUGACACAUGCACUUAUCAAGCUACAACCCAAAGACCGCAACUCCCCUCAAAACAUGCUAAAGCUAGAGAUAUAGAAAUGCAGGAGCUUUAGGAAUAUAGCAUUCAUAGUGAAAACAUGCUCUAACUGGUGCUGUCAUGUGAGUAUAGCAACAAAUACAAGUGCUAGCAAAUGAUCAAACUGAUCAAGUGAAAUGAAAUAUGACAUUUGAGCAAUUUUGAUCAAGUUUAAGCAAUUCAAAGGAGGGUUCACCACUGAAAGUAGCACAUAGCAAGCAUAAGUAGGAAAUCAACCUAGUGCUAACGAAUGUAUACAUGGUGAACAACCCCAAGUAGCAUUCAUAUCAUGUCAAAGACUAACUUAAGACUUGUGUUUUCAUCAAAUUUUUACUUUUGUCAAAGUUCGUAGCUUAUCACAAGAGUUAGUCAAAAACAUGUGUGUGCAAGAGGUUAUCUAUACUAGGCCUAACUUAUCGACCAUGCCAAGCCUAUGUCAUACACAAGAAUAAGCUUAAGACAAUGAUCUUGGCAUCCACUACAAUGAUACCUUGAUGUAGGACAGUACAGACCCAUCUUGAUCUUUCUCUUUUUGUUUUUCAUCACUUAACUUGAUUUUCAAAUUUUAGCAUAAGGAUAGUUGUCUAACCAAGUGAAUGACUCAAAGCAUGAGCCACGGCAACCUAGUAUAUAAAUGAUAGCAUCAUGGAUCUCAACAAGUCCUACACAUGCUAGUUGUCAAUAUCAAUGGUGAACAAUUUUCAUGUUUCAAUAAUUAGUGAUGUUCACAAUUCAUAAAACAAGCUUAGCUCAUAACAUGCAUCAAGUGAUCAAAAGGAGCCUAAGCCAAAAGCACCAUCAUGUACAUGCAUAACAUCCCAAGUAGAGCAUACUUUCAAUCUAACCACUAUAUUCAUGAAGCUCAAACAUGCAUUAUAGUACAUGGCAAAAUGAAAUGCAGCAAAUAUGAUACAAAAGAUAAAACAAAGACAAAGCUAGAACAAAAACCAAAACUAGUGUUAUCGGGUACCACAAUUUGGGGUACCUAAAGUAGAAGACUAAACGUCCCUCCCGCUCCCCUCAGUAAGAAGCCAGGGUGACUAAACAGUCAUUCUCUAUCUUGCCUAAGACCUAAUAAUGAGGUCUCAGACAGAGCCGAGACCAACCCUUUUUAUCUGCCUCGCCCGAGAUCCAACAACAAGGCCUUAGACAGGGGUAAGACUCAACAAUCUCUGACUCAUCUAACCCAUGGGCUCAAGCACCAUUCUCACAUUAGUGUGCUCAAGACCUUCGAUGAUGUUAGCCAUGAUCCCACAAUGAGGUCAUAGUACAACCGGAUAAGACGGGAAUCAAAUCUCCACCCUGCCCAUGCCUAGGCGGAGCAGGGCAUGACGCUCAUCGUGCUAUCUACCUCCAUCACUAUGUGUACAGCUAGGGCUGGCAUGGACGUUCCAACCUCAAUCUCCCCUAUGACCAUGAACUCGUCAGGAUCUAGGGCACGACCUCUGGCCUAGGGGGUCAUGGGUCUGUGCAUGACUCAAUGAAUAGGAAUCGACCUGUCCACUUUGGGCACAAACAUUCCAUCCAUAGGGCAGGCAUGGCCCAGCAUGAUGACUGCAUGGACGAACAUGCCUCACACUGUAGCAAUGACUGGCUAUAGCACCUGAAAGACAAGAAGCCAUUCCACUACCAUAUAGUAUCAUACCUCGGCUUAGGCUUGAAUUCGAUAGAAAUGGUACAACACAUACAUAUGCAACUCCUGCAUCCCCUUGCAACUAUAAAAGGAGGAGGCAGGGUCCCAUUCUAGGAGAGUUCAUUUGGCUGAACAUAGCACAACACAACAAAGCCACAACACUUCCUCCUAAGACUUGGAAACAACUCCCUCUUUCACCCUGUUUGUAACCCCUAUUACAAGCACUUAGGUGAAAGAUAAUACAAGACCUCAUCUCCCACUAGAUGUAGGGCACUUUCAGCUUGAACUAGUAUAAAUCACUUGUCUCCUUCUUGCAUCACCAUCCGGAUCGAGAGCAUGUAGAUAUAAAUUUACUCAUCGGUGGUAGGACCCCGUGUCCAAACAUCGACAAGUGUACAACACCAAAUGUUCCCCUUCUCUAAAAAGGGAAACAAACUCCAAGCUCUCCUCAUUAGAGAGCAAACUAGGCUUGGUCAAGGGUUUUGGUAAAGAUAUCUUCAAUUAAAGUCCUUAUCAACUAUGCCACUCAUCCUAUUGAAGUUAUGUAGAGCACAACAUGCAACUAUAAUUUGGCUUUGCUUAUGUGGUGGAUAACUUGGGAUCUUGUCCAAAUUUUGACACUUCAUUUUCAAAACUCCAAAGGAUCUUUUGAUGAUGUUUCUAAGAGAUGAAUGUGCAGAGUUCUAUCUCAUUUGAACCUUGUGGAUCUAGGUUGUAUUGACACUCCAGAAGAUGGUACUUGGUUCCCUUAUAUGGCGCAAGGUAGCCUACAUAGUUUGGGUACCCAGAAUCCACUAAGUAAUAUUUCCCUACAACAAUAAAGUUUAGUAAGUGUCAAGUAGUUGAACUAGAAGCCUAAAAUGUAAUACUAGCAAGUUAUGUACCUGUAGGUGGAUGUGUAAAGCAUGGUUGUAUGUUGUCAUUGCAUCAUUGAAGACUCUCAUGUCAUGUGCAGGACCAUCUAGCUAGUACAAAUGUGAACCUCAUGUCAAAGUCACAGACAACCAUGACAUUCUGUGUUAUCAUGCCCUUGCGGCACAAGUGUUGAACAAACUUAUCAUUUGGCACCACACAAGGUAUGUGAGUGUCAUCUAUUGCCCCUAUACAAUCCUUGAAGAAUGGAUAGAACUAGGGUUUCUUUGUCUAUGAUGAAUUGUUUUGAAUCAUGGCUCUACAGCAAGCUAAACCACACACUUCAAAAUUUUGUCAAUUAUUGUGAACAAUGCCUAGUGAUCUCUCAAACCUGCCCUCAAAUUGCCUAACUGACUGUGAAGCUUCAACCAUCUAUAGGAAUGUUCCUAGAGCCUCAACUGAUCUACAUUUGGUACUAAAUUUUAGACCAUAUGAUUGUACUAGCAGAUCAUGAAGACAAUGGAACAUAGUUGGGCUCAUUCUAAACAUGUUACAGCAGGCAUUUCUAUUUCUUGACUUCCUCUCUACCCAAUCCAAACUAGUCAUGGUUGGCUACCUGAUGAGGACAUCACUCCUUUGGAUGCACAAGAUGAUCCUCCGCUGGACAUUCAAGGUCCAAUCACAAGAGCUCCCACGUGACAAUUAAAUUUAUAGGUGAGCUCAUUUCUAGGUAAGCCUUUUUAUGGUUUUGAGAAUAGAUUACUACCUAAUGAUUAUAUUGUGCUUAGGUAUUACGGAGAGGACCAUAUAAUGCAUAAGGGAUGUCUUAGAGGCAUGGAGGACUAGCAAGGGCGCCCAAGUCAAGGAGGAGGCCCAAACCGAGCCGACUUCGAGCCUGUUUUGGAGUCUAGGACUAGCAAGGAGUAAAAAUGAUGUCUAGGAUGCAUCCAGACUCUGUUUUCAAUGUUCCACCCACGGUUGGAAAGAUAAUUUCAUAAGAAAACCAAUGGUAUUGGUUUGAGGUCCAAAUUCCUUCUGAGUCAUUAGGAAAUGUCAAAACAAGUCAGCAUCCAGAAUCUAUUUUAGUGCUGCAUCACCGUUUUUGUUCUAUUGUUUGUGUAUCGUUGUUGAGCUCGUUAGGGGGACACGUCCAGGGGUGGCGAUGACCCCUAGACCUUUAUAUCAAACUACCGCUACUCUCAUUAGGUUUUGAGGUUUUGCUUAGAUUAUUCUAUCAAGAAUAGUUUCACUAUUUCAUCAGUUUGUGAGACCCCAACUCGUGAGAUUAAUCAUUCAUCUACAAAUUCAUUGCAUUCUUACUUGUUCUUGCUUGUGUUCUUUGAUUCACAGGCAAAGGACUUAGCCUUCUUGGCAAGGUCAACCUUGCAACAUCAGUUGAUAACCAGAGGAUGGAUAACCAGAGGAGACGUGGUGCUGUGAUUGUGGGGUUUUGGAUCGUGUUGUUCGGAAGCUAGAUCAUAUUGUGUCUCAUUUCCACUAAAUCGAGAGUUAUGAGAACCUUUUGGAAGAUCAGGCCAUCUUUGUUCACAUCACUACCUAUACUCAGCCCUAUUGCAGUACUUGUCAAUAUGCAUAACAUACUCAGACAUACCAUAGAUGAAUUCAUUGGCAUCAUCCUUAAGAAAAAAGCUGAAGAGCUCCUCAAAGUCAUCAUCACAAUCAUGAGAGUAGACCAUGGCUGCUGAUUCAGCAUCCUCCUAUCCAACAAAAAGGCAUCAACUCAAUCAUGGAUGGCUUUAAGAAAUAGGCUCAUGCAUCACUACCUUUACUAAUAUAUGUCAAUAAAUCACACUCAUGCAACACAAGUUUACAUCACACAAAUAAUUGAAUUUCAUCAAACCUUACUACAUUUAAGUUGUUCAAAUGAUAGACAUCACAGACACAAUUCAUAAGACAAGGUGCACAUACAACUGACAUAGUUUAAAUGACACCAUUACUACAUUAAGUUCAAAUGACAAAUGAAAUAUGAUAAGAGGGUCUAGCUGUCAACCCUGGCAAAGUGCUUAAUGAAGAUCAUCCAUCCUUCAAGCUUGGUUCUAAUGAAAAAGGUCAUCACUGAUUCAUGCAUGAUGAUCUUGAGCACACUGAGCCAUAACUGUGGGUUGUCCUUUGUUGCACCACACUCUCUGGCCAACUGCUAGACAUAUAGGAUCUUUCUUUCUAGGUUUGUUUGUUGCUCCUAGAUGGCUUGUUGUCUCUUGUCACAAAUAGUUUGCAUCAUCACAUUCCUAUUAAUCUGAAUCUGGUUGAAGUCUCUCAUGUUGCUAUACAUGGCCCUUACUGCUGGGCUCUUUGACUUCUUGCUAGGACUAGAGGCUGUUGUGCCUGUGUUGCUAGCCCUCUUGGUGCCAAUGUUGACUGGAGUUUGCUGAUCCUCUUGCUCCUCACCUACCUCUAUGUGACUACUAUCAUAGUCAAUAGGGUAGCUUUUACCAGGCACAAAUGAGGUGGAACCAUCAACUAUUACUCCAAGGAACAUGUGGUCCAUCUUAGGCAAGUAAUCAGGCUACCCAUUCUUCCAAUUUUCCCAAUCUAAAUGGCCAUGCAAAAUGACUUGUUUGUUACAUAGUGUACACUUUAGUAUGUGGUAAACAACAAAGAAGCAAGUAGGUGAAUUACCCUGGUGUUUUCUUUCCACCAUUCUUUAGGAGCAUCAACAGAUCCAUUCUAUCUAUGGUGUAAGCCCAUGUCUUUGUGCAACUUUUGUAUGAAUUCCCUAAUCCUUUCAGUUGUCUAAACCUAUUGCCAAAUUGUUCCCUGUCAUGAACCAAGUUGGUUGCAACAUAGUACCUUUCAAUGACAUCCUUCUAUCCAUCCUUGUUCAUCGCACCCCUCACAUAGUUUUCCAUGUCAACUUGGUGGAAUCAAAUCUCACAAAACUUGUCAAUAUUUGGACCUAGCCAAAUUUCCCUAUCGUUUCUAUCCUAAAGAAUGCAUAACAACAAACCAAUUAAGAAAAACUAAUUGCAGUGAACAAACAUAGCACCAGAGACGAAUAACACCUCAUCCAAACAAGCAAGAACAAGGUAAUGAUAAAUUAAAUAAUAUGACUCAAGAGCAUGCACACAAUAGCACAUCACAUGCAACAUUAUUCAUGACUCAAGAACAUCACCACCACUGUUGCAACUAGUCACCAAUAGGGAAUAAACAUGAUUCAUCUUAGAAAGGGAUGAACAACCACUGCUACAACCAGUUAGUAAUCUAUGAAGGCAUAAACAUGCAUCAACUUUAAAACCAUGACACAACAGUAAAUCAAUCAAAAUGGGAAUCACAUUAUACUAGGAAUUGAGCAGCGGGGAUCUCCCCGUAGCAGCGGGGGCCACGCAAUGUUGACAUGAACUAUGGCUCCUUGAACCGCCAAACACAUUGAAUGCACACCCGUGCAGGCAAUAUAGGGGAGCGGUGCGGCCUCCUCCAACGAGCACUAAACUAGCAUGCUCGGUCGUGGCUCCUCCGCCUCCUCCGCCACUGUACGGCAUGCACAAGCUAUAGGGUUUGAUUGCCACUAUGAGUAGGGAUGCAUAGGGGAUGAAAGGAUCAAGAUGCCCAAGAGGGGGGUGAAUUGGGCUUCUCUAAAAUUUAAGCAACCUAUAAGCUCCAAUUCAACCCCUUGUGCCUAGUGUGAUCUAGAGAGCUACCGGAUAAAUAGUUUUGCAACCUAGUUCCAAUCUUAUUCUAGCAUGGCAAUUCUAGGAAUGUAAAUGCUCAAAGUAAAUGCUAGAAAGUAAAGGAGUAUAGCAAGAGGAACGCGGCGAUGUUUUGUCGAGGUAUCAGAGAGUCGCCACUCCUCACUAGUCCUCGUUGGAGCACCCGUGCAAGGGUCUUGCUCCCCCUUGGUCUGUGCAAGGACCAAGUGCUCUCUAUGGGUAGAUUCUUUGACACUCCGUCGCGGUGAAUCGCCCAAAACCGCUCACAAGCUUUACACGAUCCACCCACAAAAACUCCGGGCGGUCUUCGUACCUCCAAUCACCACCAAACCGUCUAGGUGAUGGCGAUCACCAAGAGUAACAAGCAAUGAAAUCUCACUUCACCCAAUUAAGGCACUAGAGGGUGGUGGAUGCACACUUGACUCUUGGAACUCAACUGGAUGAGGUGGAGGAGUAUAAAUAUCUCACUUCACUUAAGAAAUAUCUCAAUCCUCUCUAGGCUCUUGCUUCUCUCUUGCACUACAAGGUGAUUCUCAACUGAUCAAAUGGGCAAGAGAGCUCCCAUGGAUGAGGUGGAGGAGUAUAAAUACUCCCCAUCAAGUCCAAGGGCCGGCCAACCAUUUUACACUGAAAACGGGAGCCCCAGACGCUUGUAAUGUUGCACCGAACGCACUGCAUCGAGCGUCCGGUGACACAUUAAUGGCUAACUGUACUCUCUCUGACAGAGAACCGAACGCACCCUCAGUGGGUCUGGUGGCAUCAUCCGGUGUGAGGGGAAAUUUACACCCUCCCUGGGUAUGGGACCGGACGCUCCCCGGCGAGUCUGGUGCUAGCGUCCGGUGUCCUGGUCUACUACAGACCGCCCUGGGUAUGGGAUCGGACGCUCCCCGAUGAGUCCGAUGCGAGUGUCUGGUGCCUAACCCUAGGCACCCAGUCACUCUGUCUGAAGUCAGCCUCACCGGACGCACUCACAAAGCAUCCGGUGCAGCGUUUGAUGCCUGCUUAGGCACCCAAACUUUGUUGAAAUUCUAUAUUUCCAAAACAAAGUUUGUUCCUCUCGAUCUAAGGACUUUCUCAGAGCUUCCUAGUGCUAGGUUUACCAAGUGUGCACCACACCUAAACCUAAAGCCUUGCCUAGGUCAAGCUACCCAUUCAAUGCCCCUCUUAAUAGUAUGGUCAAAGGAAAACAAAGUCCUACUCUAAGUGCCCUUCUUCACCAUAUGGCACUUAGACCUAGUCUAGUCCCGACGACAUCCAACAAUCCUUUGAAAACCGAAAUGAUUUCCACCAUUAAGUCGGUAUGAAUGAUCUAGGCCAUCGAUCACCAUUAACAUGACCUAACUCAAAUUACUUUGCCUCUGCAAAACACAUGUUAGUUAUAGUAAUCAACAUUGUCAUUAAUCAUCGAAACUCAUUUGGGGCCUAGAUGCUUUUUAGGGGAGCAGGACUGAGGCUGGUGCCAUGAGUGCCGGAUUGAAGGAGGCCUUUGUAAGCAUGGAUUCCAGGCCACCCCUUGCUGGCAUUAAGGUCUAGCAACUCCAUCCUCAGACAGUGAGGGUUGAGGCUGCUCGAAGAUAGGAAAUGGUGCGCCGAGUUGGGGAAGAUCUCAUCACCACCAAUUGAGGAUAAGGGAUUUAGAUGCUGUUGAUGGUAGUUAACUCCUAUUUUUAACUAUCAACAUAACUUUUAUAACUGCAAAGAGAUGCUCACCAACAUAGGUUUAGCGAUUUGAACUAACAAAUUCCACGAGUUUUGGUGCAUCUAUGUUUUAUAGGGUUACACAGGAAAAGAGCUAAAGGCAAACUAAUCAUUGAUUAAAAGUACCUCAAAUGAUGAAGUGGGCUGCACCAUUACAACAGGCUCGUCGAGGCGAUCAAAAUAGACAUAUCAAUUGCUAUAUUUGGAGUCCGAAGUGAAAAGAUAUUAAUUUUAUAAAUAAAGGAGAAUUACCACUAAUGGGCCCGACGCCCAAGUAAGGCCCAUGACGUGAGAAGAGGCUCAUAUGGCAUGAUAGAGGCCCAAGAGAGGCGCCCCAAGCUACUCCUUUGAGUGGGCUCACAUGAGGGAUAAUUGGAAGGCCCAAGUUGAUGUAUAAUAGCCCAACAUAGCAAACGGUGGAAGAAUUAGUCCCACAUCGUCGCAUGUCCAAAAGAGGUGAGAGGCUUUUCUAGGCUAUAAAUAAAGAGGUAGACCCUCAUAUUUGGGGGCACCACAUUAUUAUGGAGAUGUAGAGGCGUCCCUCCAAUGGAUGACCUCUCACCUCUAGAGAAUUAGGGCUAGACAUUUCAAUGUAGUAAAUUAGUUCUAGUUGAGAGUUAGGGAGAGCGAUGCCACACCUGGGUUCCGGAGGAGUCUUCAAAGGAGUCAUCAGAGUUCUGGUAUAUCUUUGUAUCUAUUCUUGUAAGACUUAUGCUUUAAUAUAUUUCAUCUUCUCUAUUUACUUUUCUGCAUUACAUUUGAUUGGUUAGUAUAGUUGUUACACUUUAGCAUAGGAUCUCCGCUCGUAUUGAGUGCUCUAGUUAUUACGUGUGACUAGAGUAGUAAUUCGUAGUAUAGACAUGGCGUCUAGACUAUUGGUUACCUGAGGUUACACCCAAUCCAACAUAUAGUUGUGGUAGCCCUACGUGGUGACAGCCCUGAUGGCCGACGUAUUCCACCAUGUUAGGGUUGGUGCUUGUAGGACCGUAGUCGGAGCUUCCUAGUCCUUUCACACAUGUUUCUGUGACUAGUGUUCUGAUGUCCCAAAGUGUUAUUGUAUGAUUGCUUUACCUUCCAUAAAUUAGUUAUCAUAAAACCCCAGUAAUAGACAAGUAUUUAGGAACCUUGCGCUCUCUCGUUGUCCUCUCACUUAGCUAUUUACCCUUUUAUCAUAGAAUUCUGCAGUGUGUGUCAUAUAUGCAUAAUUCCUAUCAUCUAUUAUUUACCCCUAAUUUAGUCUAGUCGGUGUAUUAGUUAGUAGAUACAUGAUGUUGAACUAUCAAUAUCUUUAUCCAUUGUUUCCUAGUGGUAAAAUAUAAAUAAUGAUACUUGGAAUACUUUCAGUAAAAUGCUACAAUGGUUUUCUGUGCGCUUGCGGAAUUCUUCAUAUUUUAAUUGUGCAUAAGAAAUAUCAACAAGCAUUUUUGUCGUCGUUGCCAGGGAAGCAAUUGAUGUAAAGAUUCUAAUAAUGAUCUUGAUGUCUGCUAAUUUAGUGUACCAUGUUGACGGUUCUUAAGUAUCAAUUUUAAUUAUCAAAUAAACAAGAGAAAGGACCAAUAUGCAACCAACACCUAGAAUUAGGGUUUGAUCUGACAAGAAUUCCACGAGUUUUGUUGUUUAUCUGUUUCUGCAGGGAGUUAUCAGGAAAUAAGAAAGAAAGGCCCACAUGUCGGGAUUACAUAGAGAUAUCAACGCACCGCGCAAUUUUCUACCAUCUAGAAGACUCCAGAAGCCACGGGAAGAAGACGGAGGCCGAAAGGGGCCAGGCCUAGGGCGCCCGCCCUGGUGACCUGGGCGCCCGCCCCCUGCUGGAUCCAGUUCGGGACUCUCUUCGCACGGGAUAUUCCACCGACCUAUUAGAUCAAGAAAAACAUAGUACCACCUCGUCUACCGACCCAAAAAUGCAUAGAGGAGGAGGACUAUAUAAGGAGACCCCCCUGGCCCCUGGAGAAGACAUGAAGAAAUUAUCAUAGAGACUGAGGGGUGCCCUCGAAGGAAAACUUCUUCUCUAAUUAAUAUUUCUUUUUAGGCUUAGCAACCAAUGUAAGGUAGAAAUAGAUCUUCUAGUUUCUACUAGAUUGAGAGAGAUAGAGUGGAGGUGUAGAUUGGAGGAAGCCCGGCCUGUCGGUGUCUACUCCAAGCUUGUACCUGCGGGAUCAAGUUCUCCUAACCCGAAGCUUGCUCCUAGGAUUCUUCAGUAUUUCGACUUCUAAAUUCUAGUAAGUUCUUGUUUUAUUGUUCUUAUGGUUUAUGAGUUUACUUUAAUCUCUUCGCGUAGAGUUUAGAGUAAUCAUUGCUGGCGUAAACGUGGUGUUUAGGCUGGGGUACUCAUAGAUAUUUCCUGACUAGCUGGACCGUGGUAGUAGUGAGGAACGUGACAAUUCCGAGUUACCUUUGCAGAUCACAUCUCGUUAGCAGGAAGGAUAGGGUUUAUAGGUGCGGGUUGAACAUCCUUUGUGGUGUCUAGAUUCCGUUAGCCUCCCCAAUAGAACAAUAGAUCAUCCUUACCAAGGUUAGAAGGAGACUACGGUUGCAGUCUUCUCUAUUUAUCACUCACAUCGAAAGACAUUCUUUGUGCCUAAAAGGUUAGUAGUAAUAGACCGGUUAGUCAGAUGCACUCUUUCUCCUAGUAGUAAAAAAAUAAAUACGAUACUCUAGAUAAUUUCCCGGGUGAAGUGCUCACCGAUAUCCGUGCGCUUACGGAUCAAUUCCUUAUUGCGUUCCCAAAUUUCAACAAGCAUGUCUGGCGCCGUUGCCGGGGAGAAAGACGGUUGCUGAGAUAACCUGAGUCUUACUACUAGCUUGUAUCUAUACGUUUAUCUUUUCUUAUCUUUUAUAUUCUUUAUUUAUUUUCUUUACUCUUACCUUAUGGAAAACCAAAAUUCUAAAUCGAUCCUUGAAUCUGCAAUCCCUUUAGCAACUGACCUUUUACCAUAGGAGUCAUCACAGCCUAUCCAAACAUCCCAGUAUAAGUUAAGUUCUAGGUUGAUUGCCAUGAUUCAAAACCUACCUUUUUCGGGAAAGGAAGACGAAAACCCUUACCUUCAUAUUAGAGAUUUUGAGCAAACAUGUGAUUGUCUUCACAUUAAAGGCAUUUCUGAUAAAACUUUACGUUGGAAGCUUUUUCCUUUUUCCUUAAGGGGAGAAGCUAGACAAUGGUACAGUCAGAAGGUAAGUCAACAACAAGGUGAAUGGGGAGUUUUACGAGCCAACUUUUGUCUAGAUUUCUAUUCCCUUGACCGUAUAGCCGACCUUAGACUCGAAGUCCUAUCUUUUAAACAAAAAGAUAAUGAAACUUUGGGAAAAUCCUGGAAACAUUUUUCUGAUAUUUUAGAAUCUGGUCCAAACCUUAAUCUUGAAGACCCUGUUCUUUUAUUCCACUUUUUUCGAGGUCUUCAGAAAAAUCACAAACAAAUGCUACACACAAUGUCUAGAGGUUCUUUCUUUCGAAUCCCUACUGAUGAAGCUAGAGUGAUCCUAGAUAGAAUCCUAGAAGCUGAGAUGGAUAAUACCCUUCAUGAUGAAACCUACGAAGCCGAAGUAAACACUCUGCCAAAUUCUUCAUCUACUUUAGCUAUCCCAAGUUCUGAGCCACAAGAGGAAGAAAUUCCACCACCGGACUUCAUGCAGGAUAUAGAAUCCGAUCUUUUUGCCGAUUUUGGAAAUAUUUCAAACUACCAUUCUAUUGACAAACCCCAAAUCGGCCAGUUUAGCAUUUAUUUGCCAAGUGAAUAUCAAUUGAGAGAGCUUAUCUCAGUAAUGAGUAGCGAAUGGUUGGAGGAAUCAGAGCUUUCCUCUGAUGUGAUCCGUUUGGACACACCCUCUAUAACUAUACGCUGUGCUUAUAAUUCUGAUCGAUUUAAUGCUCUUUAUAAUCCUGUUGUGGGGAUAAAUAUCAUGUCCGAAUCUUUUGCACUUAAACUAUUUAAAAAUCUUGUCUUAACCCCCACAACAAAGGUCAUAAAGGAAUCUUCGGGACGAUUAGUCCCCAGUCUUGGAAUUAUUAAUGUCCUACCUCUUACGGUAGAAGGCUCCAUGGUUCAUUUGAACUUCUAUAUCUUUGAUACAUGGGACUUCGACCUGUUGAUAGGACAACCUUUUAGAAGACUCCUUUAUGAAGGUCAUACUGGAAAGCUACACAUUUCUUUUGGAAAAACCUUUAAAAUCCCAAUAACAAUUUCACACUCCUUAAACAAUAAGGCCGAGUCAUAUGUUUUUCCUGAUCCUAUGGAGGAGGUAAAGGCUGCAUCUCUAGAGCUUUUAGAUGAACCAGACUUAGAAGAUGAAACUCCUUUCUUCACAGAAGAAGACGAACCUUCUGAGCCUGAACCCUUAGAUGAGUUUGCAGAAACACCUAGACCCCCCAUAGAGCUUAAAACUUUACCACCCGGUUUUACCUAUGAUUUCCUAAACAAUAAUCCAGAGUUCCGUGUAAUCAUUAGUGAUAAACUCACUCAGGAUCAAACUCUGCGAUUAAUGACCAUUCUUGAGAAACAUCACUCAGUUUUCGGCUACUCACUCCAAGAUCUUACAGGAAUCAGUCCUAUGAUUUGUACCCAUCGUAUUCCAACAGAUCCUUCUGUUUCACCCUCUCAAGAACCCCAACAUAGACUUAAUAACACUAUGAGAGAGGUAGUUAAAAAGGAAGUUAUAAAGUUGCUGCAUGCAAGGAUUAUAUAUCCUGUGCCGCACAGUGAGUGGGUGAGCCCAGUUCAAGUUGUGCCUAAAAAAGGAGGCAUGACUGUUAUUAUGAAUGAAAAGAACGAGCUAAUUUCGCAACGCACCGUCACAGGAUGGCGGAUGUGCAUAGACUAUAGAAAACUAAACAAAGCCACGAGAAAAGAUCACUUUCCUUUACCUUUUAUAGAUGAGAUGCUAGAGCGGUUAGCAAACCAUUCGUUCUUCUAUUUCUUAGAUGGAUAUUCAGGGUAUCAUCAGAUCCCGAUCCAUCCCGAUGAUCAAAGCAAAACCACUUUUACAUGCCCAUAUGGAACCUAUGCUUACCGUAGAAUGUCUUUUGGGUUAUGUAAUGCACCAGCUUCUUUUCAAAGAAGCAUGAUGUCUAUAUUUUCUGAUAUGAUUGAAGAGACUAUGGAAGUUUUCAUGGAUGAUUUCUCUGUUUAUGGAAAAACUUUUGAUAGUUGUCUUGAAAACUUAGACAAGGUUUUGCAAAGAUGUGAAGAAAAGCACUUAAUCCUUAAUUGGGAAAAAUGUCAUUUUAUGGUUAGGGAAGGAAUAGUGCUGGGACACCUAGUGUCUGAAAGAGGUAUUGAGGUAGACAAAGCUAAAAUUGAAGUAAUUGAACAACUACCUCCACCUGUGAACAUAAAAGGAAUUCGAAGCUUUCUUGGCCAUGCUGGUUUUUAUCGUAGAUUCAUAAAAGAUUUUUCAUUUAUUGCUAGACCACUUACUCUUUUACUAGCCAAGGAUGCUCCUUUCGAAUUUGAUGAUGCAUGUUUAACAUCUUUCAAUUUAUUAAAGAAAGCACUCAUCUCUGCACCAAUCAUUCAACCCCCUGAUUGGUCGUUGCCUUUUGAAAUUAUGUGUGAUGCUAGUGAUUAUGCUGUGGGGGCAGUUUUGGGACAAACUAAAAAUAAGAAGCAUCAUGCAAUUGCUUACUCAGGAGAUGUGUGACCACUGAGGAAGGAUGGAAGAUCAUCGACAGAUGUCAUUCAUCACCAUAUGGAGGUCACUAUGGAGCAUUCCGUACACAUUCAAAGAUCUGGCAGUGUGGAUUCUACUGGCCUACAAUGUAUGAAGACACGAAGCAAUAUAUCAGAAGAUGUGGGCCAUGUCAAAGACACGGAAACAUAAAUACAAGGGAUGCAAUGCCACUCACCAACAACCUUCAGAUUGAGCUCUUUGAUGUCUGGGGAAUAGACUACAUGGGUCCAUUUCCUCCAUCAAAGAAGUGCGAGUACAUCUUAGUGGCGGUUGACUAUGUCUCCAAGUGUGUAGGAGCAUUACCUUGCAAGCAUGCCGACAACGUCAGUUCAAAGAGGAUGUUUGAAGAAAUUAUAUUCCCAAGAUUUGGAGUCCCCAGAGUAGUGAUAAGUGAUGGAGGAGCACACUUCAUCGACAAACGCUUCAAGCAAUAUCUAUCAAAACAUGGAAUCCGUCACAACGUCGCUACCCCUUAUCAUCCUCAGACAAGUGGCCAAGCAGAGACUUCCAACAAACAAAUCAAGAAUAUUCUUCAGAAGACAGUAAAUGAAAUGGGAACGGCGUGGAAAGACAAGUUACCCGAUGCACUCUGGGCAUACCGGACAGCAUACAAGACCCCAAUCGGAAUGUCUCCAUACCAAUUGGUGUACGGGAAGACUUGUCAUCUACCUGUUGAACUAGAGUUCAAAGCACACUGGGCCAUAAAGAAAUGGAAUAUGGACCUAGAUGUUGCUGGAGAUUAUAGAAGAAUGCAACUAUCAGAAUUGAAAGAAUGGCGAGAGAAGGCAUAUCACAAUUCAAAGAUCUACAAAGAAAGAGUCAAAAGGUGGCAUGACAAGAGAAUCAAGAAGGAGUUCACACCCGGAGAUAAGGUAUUACUUUUUAAUUCUAGGGUGAAGCUUUUCGGGCAUGGAAAACUCUGGAGCAAAUGGGAAGGACCAUUCAAGGUAAUUAAUUCAUCAUCCCAUGGAGCUAUCACACUUCAAAAUAGCGAAGGUACGUUAUUCAAGGUAAAUGGUUAACGUCUUAAAUUAUUUUUAGAGCCCAAUGAAGAACUUGAAGAAAUAGACGUAAUCCAUUUUUACCUUCGCAUGGAGAAUUAGAGCCCGACCUUUUUAGUCUGAUGAUUUUGAGUCAUAUAUAUAUUUUUCUAAAUAGUUUUGCAUCUAGAAACGCGCUCGAGAAAGUGAGCCCACAGAGGGGCCAGAGAGAGGGCGGGCGCCCAGCUCAGGUGGGCGGGCGCCUAGCUCCUGUUCCCCUCGGCCCCGAUUUUCUCUAUUAUGGAAAAUGCACUUAUGGUAAUCCGAAUAAUCCCUCGGAUGGAAAGUUUCGCACGCACAUCGACGGGAGCAACCCGAACAACCCAUAGAGGCACUUUUUGACCCCUAUAUAAACAGACCCCUGACCUCAAUUUUCAAACACCAAGCCACCAAGCCUUCUCUCAAUUAGAGCUUGAUUAGUUCCUUGCUGCUCCAAUGGCCGAGAAGUACCACGAUGAUUGGGAAGUCGUCCCCUUCAACUUCAACGUGGAGCCUGUGGAAGACCCCGAUGCCCGUGCUCUCGUCCCGGCGAACACAGAGCGACAGCUAGAAGCCAUGCCAUUACGCCAACGCAACUCCGCCCAAUCCUACCAUGCUCAACCAGUUCUUACCGCACCGCCACAACCCCUACUCCUCAAAGGAUCAUCAUCCAAGACGUGGACCACUAUCAAGGUGCCAACCGGCACAAGGAUCCUUCCAUCUAGACCCAAUGAGAGGGUCGUUGGAGUCAAGACCAACCGGAGCGGCGAGAUCAGCAGCGUACGCUACACUACGGAGGAGGAAAGGCCUUACUUUGAAGGGAUUCGAGCAGCCAAAGUCCGUUUCAUUCCUCCAAAGGCAGGCCCGAAGCACGCUCUCAAUGUUUUUGAGACACCUCCCAAGCGUCGCAAGACUAUAGUAGACAUUGAUGAGGACGUUCGCAGAUUAGACAGAGUUAUCAUAGAUCUCCAGUCCUCGAUUAAUUCCCUCACUAGGCAGCUCUCUAACCACAACACUAUUAUACUAGGCCUUAGGCAGGAUCUUGCCAGCGCCAACAAGAAGAUUAAGGAAUUAGAGCGCCGCUAAGUUAUCUAGAUUAAACCUUGAGGCAAUGCAUCUUAGUUAUCUAUCUUUAAAUUCGGUUUAGGUUUACUAUUAUCAUCAGUUUGCUAUCGUCAGUUUGCUACUAGUCUUUUGUAAUAAAUGCCUCAAGAUUAAUAAAGAGUACUAUUAUUAUUAUGUCUUGUGUGUCUUCAUUUUAUUUUUUGUGCAAGAAAGUAGAAAACAAGUAUGGGGGAGAUCCCUCGACACGCUAAACACACUCCGACUACACCACUCCACGAUUCAGGUGACCACUCUGCACACUUUACUUUACACAUACAAAUAUCUUGAUUAUGCAGAUUACUGUUUCCAACAUGAUAAAAAAAAUUAAAAUAUUUCUAAUCAUGAUUAAUCUCAAUCUGCUAUAUUUCCUGAAACUUGCAAUUAUUGAAAAUCAUUUUAAAACCCUGUGUUACUUAAGUCAUUAUGGAAUAUGUGAUGGUAGAGUAUGAGUUUCUUAUUCUUGAUAUCAUUGUUGCUUGGAGAAUUUAUUUCAAAAUAUUCAAAAUUCUAGCUACCAUCCUCAGUGUUUUAUAUGCCUGAUAAAACUGAAAAUAUUAAUUAUAAUUAUAAAAGCUAUCUACUCUGUAUUGAGUUUGUUCAAAAUGAGUUAGACCCUUGUUGAGAGAUUUAUCAUGCUCCUAAGAUCAAGACAUUUAUUCAGAAAGAUUCACUCUUCCGAAGUAUUAUUGCAUUAGAGGCAUGGGCUAUGCAAAAAUAGAGAUAUUUCGAGGAAAUAAAAAGAAGCAAGUGCUCGACAACCUCGCAGAAAAAAUGGACAAGUGUGCGGCAGUAGAAUUAGGGGUACCUCGGUAUCCACUUAUGUCGAGGGUAUCAGUAAGGGGUACCCUCAGCGAUGCGCAUUACGAGAUUGCCCGUACGCAGGUCGAGACCCUCAAUUCGACGCUCUAAUCUUACGUAUGCGCCGCCAUCGACGGCCGCAACCUCGAAGACGGAAAUAGCGUCGAGCGAAUCGAUCAGGCGUCGAGCGCCGGCUGCCGUCGAAUACGGAAGCGGGCUCGAGCGAACCGAGAGGCGUCGAGCGCAAGGACACUGUCCGCCGCCUGACGCGCGCACGCGGGUCGGGGCAUUUAAUGCACCUGACGCUUCCCCACCUAACACAUGGGCCACGGGAGGCUUCCGUCCCAUCGUUCUUUUUGCAGCCUUCCCACCGAACGGCCCAGGGCGUGCCAGGACACGGGAAACAAGGAUGGAACGUCUAAUCGGGACCCCCUCGAGGCCUCCAAGGUCAGCGCUCCAGAUAUCAGCAUAUUACACGGCGUCCGACCCUCGACCGAACAGGGUCCCUUCCUAGGGACAAGUUGGGCGUCGACUGACAACACCACAACUACCCCGCCGGAUCUGCCGCCAUACCGUACAGGCGUGCGACCUCAAAACCAGCGCGAGGCGGCGGGCAGGGCAGAAUGCAGGAGCACGCGUAAUCAUCACCGAGCUAUCAAGAUGGGACGGCUCGAGGCCAUGUCGUACGGAAGCCUCGAGUAGGUCAGCGUUCCAUGCGGCUAUCGACCCCUACUCUAACAUCUACGCAUGUACCCUAGUCUCUCCUUGGAACUAUAAAAGGAGAGACUCAGGGAUAGAUCAGGGAGAAAACAUAAGAAACCACACUCAUACGUAGUAGAGCUCCACACUUCAGACCACGCUUGUAUUCGCCCCUGUACAAGCACUUAGGUGCAAGAUAAUACAAACUCUCUCCCCCCGCUGGACGUAGGGCCUUCUCUUGCCCGAACCAGGAUAAAUCUUUGUGUCUUCUUGCAUCACCAUCCGGAAAAGGGAGCACGCAUACAAAUUUACUCGUUGGUGUGACCCCCCGGGGGAAAAACACCGACAGUUGGCGCGCCAGGUAGGGGUCCUGCGUGUUUUUCAUCGAUUUCCCACUCCUUUCCGGAUGGCUACUCUUGCCUCGCCGUUUCCGCGCUCCACGGUGAUUUGGUUUGGAAGUCUCGAGUUCAUGUCUACGGGCUCCGGCUACGACAUGAUCUUGCUCUCAGUCAAAGGACCAGGAGGAGCCCGCGUUACGCCAGCACGGUUGAAGGCCCCGAGACGCCCUCAUCACCACGCCUCCCCGCCUAAGAAGAGGCACGGACAGCACCACCGCGGCCCCUCUGCUUCAGCACGACCAGCAACUCGUGCGAGGCAGGACGUGGGCCACAAGUCGGCAGCACCGUGUGACGGAGCAACAAGCGCGACGACUCAGCACCGCGCAACGACGGGAGGGGACGCGCCUCGCGCGUUCUCCCCCACCGCAGCUAGGCUACUUCCACACGGGUCGUUCUCUCCAAGAGCGGCACUGCCGUUCGGAUUGGACAACGUCGCGGCGUCGCUCGCCAGGGCGAUAUGCCCAAAUGCCCAGACAUACGUAGAAAGACCAAUGGUCCUCCCACGUAGCUCUGAAGCGCGGCGGCCGGCGUCCGAGCUGCCGGACCUUUCCCGAGUACGAGGCCUCCGUCGUCUAGGCCCCGGACGAUACUCGAUCACCUCCCUCAGGCAACGAUUGCUGGAGGAAGGACGUGGGUGUUUCUACGCCGCCGAACCGGACUCCGACUCCGAGACAGAUAGCUAUGACCCUACAAGGGAAUGCUAUCACAUCGACGGGGCGGUAGAAACUACUGACGAAACACGGGAUGUUGCUGCGGGUGGUCGAGCCCCCGCGGCGCGAGAAGACCCCAGGACGCCUGGGAACGACGGACAGCUCGACCCUCUUCCUCAAGAAGACAGAACCGCGCAGCUCGCGCAGCUGCGGGAGCUCAAGAUGAAGCUCGACGAGGACCGCGAGCGCCUCGUCCUGCUCGAGCAAAUCCUCGAACAAGACCUGCCCUACCCGCCGGGCGGAAGUGUCCGCAGACGCGCUCGAGAGGUACAUCGACAGAUCGUCGGCAACGCAGAGGCGGAGCAACCUGUCAGCCGUUUCCCUCGAGCAGGCCAGAAUGUAGUGGCAGUGACGAUGCUGCUACGUAACAUGCCAGAGCCGUCGAAUUCCCAGGCCCGACGCAUUCGAGAUGAAGUACAGACAUUGCUCCAGGUGGCAGCGGUUCAACAAGCUGAAAGUUCGGCGUCUCGACGACGAGGAGCUGCCACAGAGAAGCGCGACGAACAGCCUCUAAACGAAGAGGAGGUGUCAGUCCAUCAACAACCUCCCCCUCGAGGUAGAAAGACCGCCCUCAUCCUCCCUGCCGACAAUCAACGUCGACACGACGCGCGGCACGACAUCAAAGAAAAUAGACGCCGCCGGCACGGAGACGCGGAAGAGCGCGGUUAUAGCGCGCAUCGCGGCGGGAGAUACGACAGCGACGAGGACCGGAUGGCCCCCGAGCCACCAGGCCCACGGGUGUUCAGCAGGGCGAUCCGCAGCACGCCCCUGCCCAAUCCGUUUCGACCCCCGACCAGCAUCGCGAAGUACAACGGAGAGACCAAGCCAGAGUUAUGGCUGGCCGACUUCAGACUCGCCUGUCAGCUAGGUGGCGCUCGAGGCGAUGAUCGAGCCAUCAUCAGACAGCUACCUCUUUUCCUCUCCGACACCGCCCGUCGAUGGCUCGAAGAACUCCCUGCCAAUCAGAUCCACAACUGGGUCGAUCUGGUCAGAGUCUUCGAGGGUAACUUCAAGGGGACCUACAUACGGCCAGGGAACUCGUGGGACCUCCGCAAAUGCAAGCAGAAGUCAGGAGAAACUCUUCGGGAGUACGCUCGACGCUUCUCGAAGCAGCGCACUGAGCUGCCGCACAUCCCUGACCACGACGUCAUCUUGGCGUUUGUCUCGGGCACCACCAGUCGAGACUUGGUGCGAGAAUUAGGUCGCGAUCGACCUCAGACCGUCGACGAGCUGAUGGACGUAGUAGCAAACUACGCGGCAGGGGAGGAGGCAGUCGGCGCCUUCUUCAGCUCAGAAGGAAGAAAAGGCAAGGAGCCCAUCGACGAAGAUGGAACCUCCAGUCGAGGCCUCAAGAAAAACAAAAAGAAGCAGAAAGAAGGUUCCGAUGACAACCUUGUCGCCGCCGUGGAUCGAAAGAAGCCUCGAGGCCCUCCGAAUGGAGGCAUCUUCGACAAGAUGUUGGAGGAGCCGUGCCCUUACCAUAAGGGAGGCGCCAACCACAAGCUCAAGGACUGCCGUAUGCUGAGAAGGCAUUUCGACGGUCCGGGGUUCAAAAAAGAUACGCGUGAUGACUCCAAGAAAGAGAAGGCUGGCGGCAAGGAGGACAACAAAGAUGAUGACGGCUUCCCCGCCGUCCACGACUGCUACAUGAUCUACGGCGGGCCCUCGACUCAAUUGACCACGAGGCAGCGCAAAAGGGAGCGUCGCGAAGUCUUUGCAGCAAGAAUGGCGGUGCCCCAAUACCUUAGCUGGUCAAGCACUCCUAUCACUUUCAACCGAGAGGACCACCCCGACAAGGUAGUCGCCCCGGGCGUCUACCCGCUUGUCGUCGACCCCAUCAUCAUCAACACCCGACUCUCGAAAGUGCUCAUGGAUGGUGGCAGCAGCCUCAACAUCAUCUACCUCGAGACCCUCGACCUCCUCGGCAUCGAUAGAGGACGCCUCCAGCCGAGCGCCGGCGGUUUCCACGGCGUCGUGCCUGGGAAAAAGGCACUGCCAGUAGGUCGAAUUGACCUACCGGUCUGCUUCGGCACGGCGGCCAACUUCAGGAAGGAGACCCUCACCUUUGAGGUGGUUGGUUUCCGAGGGACGUACCACGCCAUCAUCGGGCGCCCGGGCAACGCCAAGUUCAUGGCUAUACCCAACUACACCUACUUGAAGCUGAAGAUGCCCGGUCCCAAAGGAGUCAUCACUGUCAGUUCCUCCUUCGAGCAUGCCUACGAGUGCGAUGUCGAGUGCGUCGAGUACGGGGAGGCGGUCGAGAACUCCACCGAGCUCGUCGCGAAGCUCGAGGCCCUGGCCGCUGAGGCUCCAGAGCCUAAGCGCCACGCGGGCAGCUUCGAGGCGGCGGAAGGAACCAAGAAGAUCCCGCUCGACCCCAACAACUCCGACGGCAAAGUGCUCACGAUCAGCACCGACCUCGACCCCAAAUAGGAAGCCGUGCUCGUCGACUUUCUCCGUGCAAAUGCCAACAUGUUUGCAUGGAGUCCCUCGGACAUGCCAGGCAUACCGAGGGAAGUCGCCGAGCACUCCUUGGAGAUUCGAGCCGGUUCCAAGCCAGUGAAGCAGCGGUUGCGCCGAUUCAACGAGGAGAAGCGCAAUAUCAUUGGCGAGGAAGUCCACAAGCUUUUGACGGCCGGAUUCAUCAAGGAGGUUCAUCAUCCCGACUGGUUAGCGAACCCUGUAUUAGUUAAGAAAAAGAAUGGGAAAAUGAGGAUGUGUGUCGAUUAUACUAGUCUGAAUAAAGCAUGUCCAAAAGUUCCCUUUCCAUUGCCACGCAUUGAUCAGAUUGUCGAUUCUACCGCGGGAUGUGAAACCCUUUCUUUCCUUGAUGCAUAUUCUGGUUACCACCAAAUAAAAAUGAAGGAGUCCGACCAGCUCGCGACCUCUUUCAUCACGCCUUUUGGGAUGUAUUGCUACGUGACCAUGCCAUUUGGGCUUCGAAACGCCGGAGCCACGUAUCAACGUUGCAUGCUCCACGUAUUCGGCAAACAUAUAGGGUCAACGGUCGAGGCCUACGUCGAUGACAUUGUCGUCAAGUCAAAGCGACGAGGUGACCUGAUCCAGGACCUCGAGAUAGCCUUUAGCUGCCUACGCACCAGCCGGAUCAAGCUCAAUCCCGAGAAAUGCGUUUUCGGUGUGCCUCGAGGCAUGCUCCUAGGAUACAUCGUUUCGCAGCGCGGCAUCGAGGCCAACCCCGAAAAAGUCUCGGCCAUCACGAAAAUGGGGCCGAUCCGAGACAUCAAGGGUGUACAGAGAGUCACGGGGUGCUUGGCGGCUCUGAGCCGUUUCAUCUCGAGAUUGGGAGAAAAGGCAUUACCAUUAUAUCGACUCCUAAAGAAGGUCGAGCGCUUCUCUUGGACCCCCGAGGCCGAGGAAGCACUCGGAAGGCUGAAGCAGACGCUGACCUCGACACCAGUCCUGGUCCCACCUCAACCUGCAGAGCCGCUGCUCCUCUACGUCGCGUCGACGACCCAGGUCGUCAGCGCGGCGGUGGUGGUCGAGAGGCAGGAGGAGGGACAUGCGCUACCAGUUCAGAGGCCAGUGUAUUUCGUCAGCGAGGUGCUUUCGGAAACCAAAGCACGUUAUCCCCAAAUCCAGAAGCUGAUUUAUGCUGUAAUCCUUGCCCGUCGCAAGCUGCAGCAUUACUUCCUUGGCCACCCCAUCACGGUGGUCUCGUCUUUUCCUUUAGGAGAAAUAAUCCAGAGCAAAGAAGCCACGGGAAUAAUAGCAAAAUGGUCGGUCGAGCUCAUGAGUGAGACUCUCACUUAUGCGCCUCGCAAGGCCAUCAAAUCGCAGGCCCUGGUAGACUUCAUCGCAGAAUGGACGGACACCCAGCUCCCCCCGACCCAGGUCCAGGCGGAACUAUGGACGAUGUAUUUCGAUGGGUCACUCAUGAAAACUGGAGCCGGAGCCGGCCUGCUGUUCAUCUCACCUUUGGGCAUCCAUAUGAGGUACGUAAUCAGGAUUCAUUUUGCCGCAUCUAACAAUGUCGCAGAAUACGAGGCCCUCGUCAACGGUCUCAAGAUCGCUAUCGAGUUAGGAGUCCGACGCCUCGACGUCCGAGGUGACUCCCAACUCGUCAUCGACCAAGUGAUGAAAACCUCGAGCUGCCACGACCCAAAAAUGGAAGCAUACUGCAAGGAGGUCCGUCGACUCGAGGACAGGUUCCACGGUCUCGAGCUUGUCCAUGUCGCUCGACGCUACAACGAGGCAGCCGAUGAACUCGCCAAGAUCGCAUCCACCAGAGGCACAGUGCCGCCUGAUGCAUUCUCAAAGGAUCUUCACGAGCCAUCCGUCGACCUAGGCACGGGGGCUGGCAUCGACGCCACCACCGCCCAACCGACCAAUGCCUUCGAUACGCUCUUGAUGGUGGAGGAGAUGAUGGAGAUAGAACGACGACCAGGUCGACCAUUCGAUUGGCGCACACCGUUCCUCGACUGCCUUAUCCGCGGCGAGUUGCCAGAAGACAGGUCAGAAGCUCGUCGUAUCGCUCGACGGGCUAAAUCAUAUGUGAUAUAUGGCAAAGACAACGAGCUAUAUCGACGGAGCCCGACGGGCGUCUUACAACGUUGCAUCACCGUAGAAGAAGGCCGAAAACUCCUCGAUGACCUGCACUCGGGGGCUUGUGGCCACCACGCCGCUCCACGGACCCUCGUAGGGAACGCUUUUCGGCAAGGCUUCUACUGGCCAACGGCCGUGGCGGAUGCCAUCGAGCUUGUACGAUCAUGUCACGGGUGUCAGUUCUACGCCAAACAGACGCAUCUGCCUGCCCACGCUCUUCAGAUGAUCCCCAUCACCUGGCCGUUUGCGGUAUGGGGGCUCGAUUUAGUAGGGCCUCUACAAAAGGCGAAAGGAGGAUACACCCAUUUGCUGGUGGCCAUUGACAAGUUCUCCAAAUGGAUCGAGGCUCGACCCAUCACCAACAUCCGCUCCGAGCAGGCCGUCCUCUUCUUCACCGACAUCAUCCAUCGGUUUGGGAUCCCUAAUGUCAUCAUCACCGACAACGGCACCCAGUUCACCGGCAGAAAGUUCUUGGAUUUCUGCGAUCAGCAUCAUAUCCGUGUGAACUGGUCUGCAGUAGCCCACCCUCGAACUAACGGCCAGGUCGAGCAUGCCAACGGCAUGAUUUUGCAAGGACUCAAGCCAAGGAUCUACAAUCGAUUGAAGAAGUUCGGCAAGAAAUGGGUCGAGGAGCUUUCCUCAGUCCUAUGGAGCCUUAGGACAACGCCAAGCAGGGCCACAAAAUACACCCCGUUCUUCAUGGUCUACGGCUCUGAGGCUAUCCUCCCCACAGACCUCGAGUAUGGGUCACCUCGACUCAAGGCUUACAACGAGCAAUCGAACAAAGAAACUCAAGAAAACGCGGUCGACCAACUCGAGGAGGCUCGAGACAUGGCCCUCCUCAAUUCUGCCAGAUAUCAGCAGAAACUCCGACACUACCACGACAAGCACGUGCGCAAGAGGGACCUCAACGUAGGCGACCUUGUCCUACGACGCCGGCAAAGCAAUCAAGGACGCCACAAGCUGACUCCACCUUGGGAAGGCCCAUAUGUGGUGGCCGAGGUCCUUAAGCCAGGAACGUACAAAUUAGCGGACGAAAAGGGGGCAAUCUUCACCAACGCAUGGAACAUCGAACAGCUACGUCGAUUCUACCCCUAGAAGUCCUAAACUUACGUUCCUACAUUUUGUACGAAGGCUUUGUAAAUAAACACGUGAAUAAAUAAAGUCUUUCCCUCGAGCGACUUCUUUUUGUGCCAAAAAUAGUUACGAAUCUUAGUCUCGACGUUAAAAGGGGAUGCCGACCAUGACCAAUCAUAGUCCGCACCCCCUCGGGGGCUACCAGGGGGACGACCCCCCCCCCAAGUGUCGAAAAAGCCAAGAAAUUUUCUUUUCUUACUUAGUAAACCUUGCAUGGUUCGAGUAGCUAAGGCGCCUCGAGCCCCUCAAAGGCCGAGGGAUAACGAGCCGGAGAACUCCCACGCCCCCGGGCUACGGAAACUCUACUCACUUCCUCACCUUUGAGGUAAUCGAGGUUGUUUUUGACGAAAGAUCGAGCAAGGGAUACAAACGUAGGAACAAAGAGAAACAAAAGAACCUCGAACGGAAAGACAAAUAAGCAUUUAACAAUCACAAAAAGAUACUGUAUCACCUAACAGCAGAAUUAAUAAAGUAUCAUACAAGGGGCCCCAGGCGCCCUGAGCAGGCUCGCAGGCCUCAGUCCGCGGUACGAUCCUCACCGCCCUCGCCUCCGCCCGAGCUAGCCUCGGGAGGGAGCACCUCAGGCUCGAAGAGCUUGGCCAACCUUUCCCCAGGAGCCUCCGCGUCGUCGAUCAAGGCAUGAAGCCUCUCCUCGUUCUCCGCGUCGGUCUUGGAGAUGUCGGUGACGAAGCCAUGGGACACCACCUCCAUGUCGUAGGAGAAGCCCGAGCAGACAACCGCCAUCGCCCGCUUCACCCCGAUGUGGAGGGCGUCCCGCACCCGAUCUCGCAGCGUCGCGCCUAUGUAGCACAACUGAUCGAUCAGGGCGUCGCCACGAGCGUCCUCCCUCAACUCAUCCAUAGGCUCGAUCUCCCAAGAGGUCGAGAGAUCGCUUAUCGCCGUCCGCACUCGACGGUUCAAAGCAACCUCAGCCUCGAGCUGAGCCUUGGCGUUGCGAGCCUCGGCUUGGGCGGCCAGGAGUUCGUCCUUGAGCCCUGUAAAUGCCAAUACAAAGAAGCUUUAGGAAAAACUCAAGCACACCUCGAAAAGGAAAUUCGACAAAGGAAACAUACCUUUGAUGCUCUCCUCUAGGGCCGUGUUCUCGCCGACCAAUCUGGUGUUGGCACGCUCGAUCUCUCUGUUGGAGCGCGCCAGCUCAGUAUUGGCGACGCGGAGAUCUUCGAUCACCCUGCCAGCCUGAGCGACGGCUCCACUCUUCUCCAGCAAUUCUCCCUUCAGACGCUCGACGUCGUCAGAGAGACUGCGGGAUCGAGCUCGCUCCAUCUCGAGGUCUUCGAGGGCCUUCUUCUUUGUGUCCUCGGCGGCACCCCUGGCGACCUCAUUGUCCACGCACGCCACUUUCAUCUUUUGGAAGGAAUCGCGGAGGGAGUCCAGGUCGGUUUGGAGAAGGCCCUUCUCCUUGUCCAGGUCCGCAAUGACGCUCUUGUAGGACAGGGCCUCCUCCCGGGCUCUGGACGCGGCCUCCUCGACCGUAAGAGCCCGCUCCCGUAGCUGCAUCGCCUCCUCCUCCGCCUUCUUCGAGACCUCUCGGGCCUCGGCCAAAGCAGCCUCCCUCGCCUUCUUCUCCUCCUCGAGUGCUAUGAGAUCUUUGUAAGCUUUAAGCAGCUUUUCCUGCGACUCGAGGAGUUGAUCCAUGAGGAGGGGAAGCUGCUCCCAUCCGCCCCUCGUGGCAUGUAUGAAGCUGGACUUGAUGCGAGAGGUCUCUUUCAUAUCCUGCGAAUCGGGGGUCGGAUGGAUUAGAAUACAGAAACCAGAAAGCACCAUAAAGAUUGGAGUUCGAGAAACACUUACAAAAUAAGCUGGCCCGAGCCCGUUGUUGAUGACGUCCGAUAGGAGCCCCACCACGUGUUUCAUCCAAAGGCGGAGCUCCUCGACAUGCUCCCACUUCUCGACCUCCUUCUUGUCGUCGAGGAAGAUAUUGGGCUCGGACGGGUCGGUGGAAGCUCGGAUACGAAUCCGAUCGGGACACCAGUUCUCCAUCUCCCGAUCAGCCCGCGCCUUGACGCCGCGGAUAAAGUUCUCGACGGUCUCGAGGGAACCCCCGUGGCGCAAGAACAGGUCGGCGAGGCAAGGGAACCGCCCGUCGUCGUCCACCGUCUUCCACGUGCCGUCCUUGCUCCCUGACGACCCAAUCUCGUCCUCCUCAGAGGGAAAGUGGUCCUCCCAUGCUCGACGCUCCCGGAGGAACCCCGGGGCGAUCCCGUCCAUGCCAUAGAUCGUCCUCUUGAUCUCGGACUCGGGGUCGGUGGGGGUGCGCAUCAUACAGGCGAGCGCCACCACUCCGUCCGCUCGCCCCGACUCUGCCCGGAUCGCGGCAGGCGCCCCCAGGAGGAGCCACGCUGGAGUGGGAGGUCCGUACACCGGCAAAUUUCCCUCUUGAUCGCCGGGCUCUUGCGACGCCAGUGGCGCCGGUUCGGCCAAACCUUGAGGCGGGGGCUCGAGUGGCUCGUCCUCUUGACCCCCCAGCUGCUGCUGCUGUUGCUGCCCCAGCUGCUGCUGCUGCUCCUCCUGCUGAUGCUGCAGCUGCUCCUCCGGCUGGGGUUGUUGCUGCUGCUGCUCCAGUGACGGUGGCGUCGCCUCGCGCUCCCGCUCCUCCUCCUCCAUCUUCCUUUGCGCCUCGAGAGCUCGAAGGCCUGCAGGCCAGGGAGUCCGUCCCGCGACGUUGGGGGUCGACGCUUCUUCCUCCAUAGGGCGAGCGCCCCAGACGUUUCGUUGCCAUCAGACGUAUCGCUGAUGGUGAUGGGUUCCCCCUCGACCCCCAAUCGAGGGGGCUCGGGGGCUCCCUCUGACGCUCGCGUCUGGGGGGCCGCAUCAUGAGUCGGCGGCGACGGAGUAGGCGCGGGACGAGAUGAAGCCCUCUCGACGCCGGCUGGAGGUUGGGGGCUGGAUGAGCCUACAAAACAAAGGGUAAGGGUCAGACGUUAUGAUAACCAACACAAGAACAUCGCGACGCCCGGGAAUUAACUACGAACCUGGUUCCUUGGAGGCGGCACCCGUUCUGAGCCUCUUGGCCAUAGACGGUUGGGCCUGCUCAAGGGUCCGCUUCAGCCAGAGAAAAGGUCGGCAUAUGAGGAAAGGUGGAAGAAUGGGAGGACAAAAACCGCAACAUCAAAAAGGCUUACCCCACGGGGAGCACGGCUCGCCUUCCGCCACCCCGACCAGCGGGCCUCGAGCCACCCCGCGUCGGGGCUCCAGGCCCCUCGAGGGCACGAACCGGCUUAGGUACGUCGGUCCCCGCCUGGCGGACGCCGGGACCCGCGCUCCUACGGCCGGCGUCUCCUUUCUCAGAGGCCGCGGCGCGACCACGAGUUAGCGGCCCCGACGCCUGGGACCUAGCCGGACCGCUCUCCCUGGGCACCGGGGGGGGCGCGGUGCGUCUUGGCCCGCCUUGGGCGCGGGAGGGGUGUCGGCCCGGGGACGACGAGAUCCGCUCGGACCCUCCUCUGGCGCCUCCGUCCGGGGGGCGUCGACGUCACCUCGAGGCGGGCCCUCGAGAAUCCGAUCGAGGCGCGACGCCAUCCCCUCGGAGUCGUCGCUGUCCUCGUCGUCAUCGUCAUCAUCGUUGGGGGAUUCUUCCUCAGGCUCCCCCCUCUGCCUGGAUUUGGCUCGACGCGCCUCUAAUGCUUGGCGGUCGAGGUUCUUCUUCUUCUCCCCCUUCUUUGCAGAGUCCUUGGCAGACUUCAGCUUUUCGGCGGAUUGGCGCCGUUUGUCGCGAUCGACCUCGUCCUCCUUUACCGGAGGCCUCGAGGACCGGACAUCAAUCCGACCCUGCCAAAACUACAGUAGACUUAGAAAAAAGAGAGGGGAGAAAGGAAACCCAGAGUCGGGGAUGCGCGCAAGAAGAAAGCGUACCAGAUCGAUCGAGCCUCCGUCAGGUCUCAUGGGGAAGCCGUUGACAUGCUCCGGCUGAAAAUCACCGGCAAUGGCAGCCCUGACUCGGGCCGCGACUUCGUCGUCCGCCGGAGCCUCGUUUGACAUCCGACACGCCUCGAGGUCCCGAGAUGAGACGCCAGGGCCCAUCUCGUCCAUCCUCAACGGUCGUGACAUCAGAGGGAGAACUCUCCGGUGAUGGACGGCCGAGAGGACGAGGGCGGCGGUCAAACCUUCCUGGCGAAGCUUCUUCAGGGCGUCAAGGAGGGGGUCGAGCCGAGACUGAUGAGCUUGGACGACGCCGUACGUCCAGUCCGCUGGACGCUCCAAGAUCAGACGGCCCGAGUAGGAAGGCAGGAGGUUGUCGUCAUUCCGCAGGUAGAACCACUGGGAGUCCCAGCCGGCGUGGUUGGUCGAUAACCCUACCGGGAUGUACUCCCGCGGCCGGUCCGUCUUCCCCGUCUUCUGCACCAGAUUGAGGCAACCCGCCCGCACGGGCUUCCUUACGCCCGUAGUUCCGGUGGGGGCGUGAAACAGCUCGCCCCUGUAGAGGUGGAGCCACAGCUCCCAGUGCGGCAUCAUCCCCAGGAAGCCCUCACACACGGCGGCGAAGACCGCCGCUACGGUGAUGGCGUUCGGAGAGAAGUGCUGGAGCUCCACCCCAUAAUGGAAGCAGAGGGCCCGCAUGAAGCGGCUUGGGGGCGCGCCCAGACCGUGGCGGUGGAACUUGGUGUCGGUGUUUUUCCCCCGGGAGGUCACACCAACGAGUAAAUUUGUAUGCGUGCUCCCUUUUCCGGAUGGUGAUGCAAGAAGACACAAAGAUUUAUCCUGGUUCGGGCAAGAGAAGGCCCUACGUCCAGCGGGGGGAGAGAGUUUGUAUUAUCUUGCACCUAAGUGCUUGUACAGGGGCGAAUACAAGCGUGGUAUGAAGUGUGGAGCUCUACUACGUAUGAGCGUGGUCUUGUGUCGUGAUCCUCUUUCUAUUCCUGAGUCCCUCCUUUUAUAGCUCCAAGGAGAGACCUAGGGUACAUGCGUAGAUGUUAGAGUAGGGGUCGAUAGCCGCAUGGAGCGCCGACCUACUCGAGGCUUCCGUACGACAUGGCCUCGAGCCGUCCCAUCUUGAUAGCCCGGUGAUGAUUACGCGUGCUUCUGCGUCCUACCUUGCCCGCCGCCUUGCGCUAGUUCUGAGGUCGCACGCUUGUACGGUAUGGCGGCAGAUUCGGCGGGGUAGUUGUGGUGUUGUCGGUCGACGCCCCACUCGUCCCUAGGAAGGGUCCCUGUUCGGUCGAGGGUCGGACGCCAUGUAACUCGCUGAUAUCUGGAGCGCUGACCUUGGGUGUCUCGAGGGGGGUCCCGAUUAGACGUUCCAUCCUUGUUUCCUGUGUCCUGUCAUGCCCUGGGUCGUUCGGCGGGAAGGCUGCAAAAAGAUUGAUGGGACGGAAGCCUGUUCCCUAUCACGCCUUCCGUGACCUGUGUGUUAGGUGGGGAAGCAUCAGGCGCACUUAAUGCUCCGGCCCGCGUGCGCGCGUCAGGCGGCGGACAGUGUCCUUGCGCUCGACGCCUCUCGGUUCGCUCGAGCCUGCUUCCGUAUUCGACGGCAGCCGGCGCUCGACGCCUGAUCGAUUCGCUCGACGCUAUUUCCGUCUUCGAGGUUGCGGCCGUCGAUGGCGGCGCAUACGUAAGAUUAGAGCGUCGAAUUGAGGGUUUCGACUUGCGUACGGGCAAUCUCGUAAUGCGCAUCGCUGAGGGUACCCCUUACUGAUACCCUCGACACUUGGCGAACGACACCACGUAGCCCUCGGGCGGCUGAGGCCCCCUGUGACUUGCCGGCGGCGCGAUCCACUCUGGCGACGACAGCGAGGUGCGGCGGCGCAGCAGUCCCUCCUUCUCAAGCUCUAACAGCCGGCGCUCCGUCAUCGACGACGGGCGCCAGUCGUCGGCGGCGACGAGUCUUACAGGCAUCUCGGCUGAAGGGACGGUGGGUUUACUACAGCUCGAGGGGGCGUGUGCGCGUGAGACGGCGAAGGAAUAAGAGCGAGAAGGCGGAAGGGAGAGGAACGGCGGCGACGCCACGACGUACUUAUAGGCAGCAGUCCGCCAACGGACAGAUCCGAAAAAUAAGGUAACACCCUCCCUUAAAUGCGCCACCUAAUCGUCCUCUCUCUCCUCACAGGUCGGACUCUCCGAAUUCCCCGCCGAUACAGUGUCGUAACGUCAUCCGCCUAAAAAGGCGCGCCCAACGGGCAGAAAGGCGAACCGCCACGGCCGCUUCCUUCCCUCGUAAGCCAAGGUAUGCGCCCACAAUAGUCUCGAGAGGUCGAUGGCUGGCCCGUCGAAAGGGUUCGACAGCCGAUCUCGAGCACCAAGAGUCAGGGAUCCCCAGCGAGCGGUCGAAAAUCGAGGCCCGCCUCGAGGACUCGCUGGCGAUGUCUAAGGUAGGGUCGAGACAGUCGAGAGGAAUCCCCCCGAAGGGAGGCAUCGAGCCGCUGGACUCUAUCGAAUGAGACCGGUAUCCCCGACCACGUCGACCCUGCUUUAUGAGGACGCCUCCGGGCUACAGCUGACCCCCUCGAAAGGGGCACAGGUUCUCACUUGGACUACCCGCUAGGAACUCAAUUUGGGGUGGAAGACGCUCGCUCUAUCGAGAGUACGUCGAAACCCCCGUGCAAAACGAGCCAGUCAGAACCUUCCACCAAUGGUGUCGAAAGCGUUUCCGCGAAUUAGACAACAUAACCCUCGAAGGAGUCAAAAACUCCUCCGAGGGCUCGGGGGCUACCCCCGCGGGGUCGCUCGCGCGCCCCCACGGAAAUUCGACCGCAAAACAAAGCCUCCACUCGAGCGCUAGCGCUCAAAUGGAGGUUCGAGGGCUACUGUCGAGGGUAUCAGUAAGGGGUACCCUCAGCGAUGCGCAUUACGAGAUUGCCCGUACGCAGGUCGAGACCCUCAAUUCGACGCUCUAAUCUUACGUAUGCGCCGCCAUCGACGGCCGCAACCUCGAAGACGGAAAUAGCAUCGAGCGAAUCGAUCAGGCGUCGAGCGCCGGCUGCUGUCGAAUACGGAAGCGGGCUCGAGCGAACCGAGAGGCGUCGAGCGCAAGGACACUGUCCGCCGCCUGACGCGCGCACGCGGGUCGGGGCAUUUAAUGCACCUGACGCUUCCCCACCUAACACAUGGGCCACGGGAGGCUUCCGUCCCAUCGUUCUUUUUGCAGCCUUCCCACCGAACGGCCCAGGGCGUGCCAGGACACGGGAAACAAGGAUGGAACGUCUAAUCGGGACCCCCUCGAGGCCUCCAAGGUCAGCGCUCCAGAUAUCAGCAUAUUACACGGCGUCCGACCCUCGACCGAACAGGGUCCCUUCCUAGGGACAAGUUGGGCGUCGACUGACAACACCACAACUACCCCGCCGGAUCUGCCGCCAUACCGUACAGGCGUGCGACCUCAAAACCAGCGCGAGGCGGCGGGCAGGGCAGAAUGCAGGAGCACGCGUAAUCAUCACCGAGCUAUCAAGAUGGGACGGCUCGAGGCCAUGUCGUACGGAAGCCUCGAGUAGGUCAGCGUUCCAUGCGGCUAUCGACCCCUACUCUAACAUCUACGCAUGUACCCUAGUCUCUCCUUGGAACUAUAAAAGGAGAGACUCAGGGAUAGAUCAGGGAGAAAACAUAAGAAACCACACUCAUACGUAGUAGAGCUCCACACUUCAGACCACGCUUGUAUUCGCCCCUGUACAAGCACUUAGGUGCAAGAUAAUACAAACUCUCUCCCCCCGCUGGACGUAGGGCCUUCUCUUGCCCGAACCAGGAUAAAUCUUUGUGUCUUCUUGCAUCACCAUCCGGAAAAGGGAGCACGCAUACAAAUUUACUCGUUGGUGUGACCCCCCGGGGGAAAAACACCGACAACUUAAAAAAAAGAAGAGAGAGAAAAGAAAAAAUGAUAGCCCAUGGUCCCUCUAAUAAGCAAUAUGCCAGCAAGAGUUGAUAAAGAUUUUAAUUUUCAAAGUCUUUGAUCUAAGAGUAUGACAUUCCUCUCCUCGAAUCCCGUUUUGAUCAGGCAAUAAAUGCAAAGUGAGUAUGCUUGAGAAUUUUUUGCAAAAUAAAACAACCUCAGUGAGAUAUAUAAAAGAUAAUGAGUGAUCUGAGAGAACCUAUGAGGAUAAAAAGGUAUGCUAAUUUUCUUUAAAAAAAAUUAAAAAAAACUCCAAGUGACAGGAUUGAGAAGAAAGGAUCUUUACUCUUAACCAUAAACAUCCCUGACUAUGGUAUACAGUGAAUUUUUUAACACCCUGCAAAUAUAAAGAAUGUUUUAAAUGUUUACCCCAAAUAUUGUUCUUAACCAUCCUUUCCUCGAGGACGAGUAAAAGCCUAAGUAUGGGGGUAUUUGUUGACGGUUCUUAAAUAUCAAUUUUAAUUAUCAAAUAAACAAGAGAAAGGACCAAUAUGCAACCAACACCUAGAAUUAGGGUUUGAUCUGACAAGAAUUCCAUGAGUUUCGUUGUUUAUCUGUUUCUGCAGAGGGUUAUCAGGAAAUAAGAAAGAAAGGCCCACAUGUUGGGAUUACAUAGAGAUAUCAACGCACCGCGCGAUUUUCUACCAUCUAGAAGACUCCAGAAGCCACGGGAAGAAGACGGAGGCCGAAAGGGGCCAGGCCCAGGGCGCCCGCCCCCUGCUGGAUCCAGUUCGGGACUCUCUUCGCACGGGAUAUUCCACCGACCUAUUGGAUCAAGAAAAACAUAGUACCACCUCGUCUACCGACCCAAAAACGCAUAGAGGAGGAGGACUAUAUAAGGAGACCCCCUGGCCCCUGGAGAAGACAUGAAGAAAUUAUCAUAGAGACUGAGGGGUGCCCUCGAAGGAAAACCUCUUCUCUAAUUUAUAUUUCUUUUUAGGCUUAGCAACCAAUGUAAGGUAGAAAUAGAUCUUCUAGUUUCUACUAGAUUGAGAGAGAUAGAGUGGAGGUGUAGAUUGGAGGAAGCCCGGCCUGUCGGUGUCUACUCCAAGCUUGUACCUGCGGGAUCAAUUUCUCCUAACCCGAAGCUUGCUCCUAGGAUUCUUCAGUAUUUCGACUUCUAAAUUCUAGUAAGUUCUUGUUUUAUUGUUCUUAUGGUUUAUGAGUUUACUUUAAUCUCUUCGCGUAGAGUUUAGAGUAAUCAUUGCUGGCGUAAACGUGGUGUUUAGGCUGGGGUACUCAUAGAUAUUCCCUGACUAGCUGGACCGUGAUAGUAGUGAGGAACGUGACAAUUCCGAGUUACCUUUGCAGAUCACAUCUCGUUAGCAGGAAGGAUAGGGUUUAUAGGUGCGGGUUGAACAUCCUUUGUGGUGUCUAGAUUCAGUUAGCCUCCCCAAUAGAACAAUAGAUCAUCCUUACCAAGGUUAGAAGGAAACUACGGUUGCAGUCUUCUCUAUUUAUCACUCACAUCAAAAGACAUUCUUUGUGCCUAAAAGGUUAGUAGUAAUAGACCGGUUAGUCAGAUGCACUCUUUCUCCUAAUGGUAAAAAAAUAAAUACGAUACUCUGGAUAAUUUUCCGGGUGAAGUGCUCACCGAUAUCCGUGCGCUUGCGGAUCAAUUCCUUAUUGCGUUCCCAAAUAUCAACAUACCACUAGCUUUAGUAGGAUUACCCCGUUGUUCUAUUGAGUGUGGAAUAGACAGGACAUCAGAUGCUGCUUCGACCUUGCAACAAAAUUCCACAAGAUUGAAGAACCCAUGGUGCUUGAACAUUCAAGAUCCGUCAUUCUAGAACCCUGCCAUCUCACAGGUUUGUGUAUACACAUAUAUAUUAUUUAUUCUAACCAUGUGUAGAUUGGAGAAAAGGUCAUCGUCACAAGAAUACAACCCCCAUCACAUGUGACGGAUAUUUAUGCUACGCCACUCAUCCUAGUUGUGUAUCAUGGUAAGUGUGAUCAAGGUGAGAUAGUCUUCUUCAUGGGCUUUAAACCUUAUGAGUAGUUAUAUUUUUAUUUUUUUAUUUUCUUGCAUACCACUGCAUGUUUACUUUGAAUCAUCCAUGCAUCCACUUCAUUUAGUUUUCUCAUCCAUGUUGGGUAUUCUUAACAUCAUUACCAAAAGUAGACUAAGUUUUCUAAUUCUGAUAACAGCGCCAAAAAUGCCAAACCUAUCCCUCAUGCCACUUAAGCCAAGUUGUCAUCCCCAGCAUGACAUAAGAUACGCGGUAUUCAAAUAUGCAAUUGCUCAUCUAAAUAAAUAACAAAUGGGAUCUGCAAGCGCACAGAUUAAUACCGAUGUAGCAUUUUAACCGGGAAGUAUUCCAUGUAUCGUUAUUUAUAUUUUUACCACUGGGAAGGGAUUAGCAAUCAUCAAUGUUGAUUAUAGAAUGGAAUAUAAGAUUGAGUAUCUAUCAUUGCAUGUAUAAUUGAGAACAUUUAUCUAACUCUUUCAUACAGGGUAAGUGUCACAUAAAGGAUAUAUAAAGUAAUGAAUAGUGACAAUGAUAAUUAAUCUGAUCAGCAUAACUUAGCCACAUAUAAAUAUGAUAAGCACCUCAAUUAGAUAUUCUAUCAAGUCAUUAGCAUCGAAUUAGGACGAACUACAAGAAUAUUUCCUAAGUUAUUCUUAACUAUACAGUCUAGCAUAUCAUAGUUAGUGCAAUUAUACUUAGCAAUCAUUGCGAGACAGGACUACGCCCAUGCAUAGUGAUAUUAGCAAGGAAUAUGAGAAACAUCGUAAUCACUCCCCUGUAAUAAUGUUGCUCUAACAACCCAAUACACGAGAGGGGGACUAUAUAAGAAUCAAUGGAGCUGUCACUACCACGAACUACCCCAUGAUCUGGCAUAUAGGGUACAAUCGCAGAUAAAUACGGUAUAAGCACCACGCCUACACAGUAUCUAUCAUUUACCCAUAGAUCCGAUAGAUAAACGCUAUACGAUACUAAGCAUGUAUAUAGAUCCAAUCUAACUAAGCCAAGUAUAUAACUAUGAUAAACUAAGAACAAUAUAAUUGCGAAUAUAAACAAGUAGAACAAAGUCAUAACCAAUAUAUUGAAGUAGAACAAAGUCAUAUUCAUAAUAUUGAAGAACAAAGAUGAACAAAUGAAGAACAAUAGAGAAUUACCAAGAAUCCUCUUGACAGAUGCGGAAACCAAUUGAAGAUUGACUCCUUCUAGUUCUAAUCCUAUGUAGCUAUGCUAAUCUAGAUGUCUAAUUGAUGUGGUGGCUCUAGGCUUGAUCAGAGGCUUCUUCUCCCUUGAUGGAUAAUGAAUUAGGUUUGAGAGGUCCCCUCCUCCAGGGGCCAGGGGGUCUGGUUUUAUAGUCCUUUCAAGUGAAUAUUGGCCGUUGGAUGAAACCGACAUUGAUUGAACGGUUAUCCUUGAUCCUUUAGGUCGGUGGAGCGUAAUCCCGAAAGAGAGUCCUGAUUGAACUCCAAAGGGGGGCGGGCGCCCUGGUACCUUGGGCGGGCGCCCUGGGCCAGGCCCCGUUCUGCCUCCGCUUCGUUCUCGUGGCUUCUGGAGUCUUCUAGAUGUAAGAUAAUUGCACGGCACGUUAAUAUCUCUAUGUAAUCUUGACAUGUGGGCCUUUCUUCCAUAUUUCCCGAUAACCCCCUGCAGAAAUAGACAAACACCAAAACUCGUGGAAUUCUGUCAGAUAAAACCCUAAGUCUGGAUGUCGAUUUCAUUUGGAUCCUUUUCUUUGUUUAUUUGAUAAUUAAAUUUGAUACUUAAGGACCGUCAACAAACUCCCCCAAGCUUACCUCUUGCUCGUCCCUGAGCAAGGAUAAUCUCAGCGAUGGAUCAGAAGUUGUUGUAAUGCCUUUAAAAAUUGACAGUACAUAUACUUUUAAAUAAGGUCUCAUCUCUGAGUUAGAGUAAACUGUCAAGACUUAAAACUUAUUCAUUUUACCUUUCUCCAUGGGACUUGUAACCGUCACUUCUAUCUUGAGUAGUUAAAAGAUAGAACAGUCUAGUCAAGUGUCAUGUCUCUUAUUCUUGAUCAGCUAUAACUCUGGAGUUUUUGCAGAUUUUUAAAUAAAACUCAGAGAUUCCUUGUAUGACUCUCUUAGAUCUCUCUUUUGUGGUAUUUCUGGAUCCUUACCAAGGCAGUGCUGGUAUACGCCUUCUCUCAAUAUAUAUGGUAUUUGUGGUAUAAGGCAUAGUGACAUUGCCUUCUCUCUCACCCUACUCUAAUAAGGCUUUUGAUAUCUGGAGCUCAUAGGUGGGAGAUAAAGUAUACAUACUCACAAGACAUUUAUUGUAUAGUCAAACCAUGGAUCCAAAGUAACAAGUCAAUAAGUCAAAUCAAGAUGUGCAUGUGUGGCGAAUGAAUGGUGUAUGGUGAUGAUGGUGAUAACAAUGGUGAAAGUCUAAUUCUACUUUUUGCUCUUUUGAGGGGAUAUAUACCUUUCUUGCUCUUUGAAACUUUGUGAGGAGAAUGAGAUGCUCUACUUUUUCUCUUUUUUUUCUCUCUCAGGUGGGUAUCUUGUACCCCUAAUUCUACUGUCGGACACUUGUCCAUUUUUACCUCUCGUCUCACUUUUCCUUUUCUUUCGAGGUUCCGGGCACUUGCCCCUUUUUAUUUCCUCGUAUCUCUUUUUUUUAGAGCACUCAUCUCAUGAAAUAAUAUAGCAAGUGGUAGUAACCAUGAUAAGUUGAGCAUUUAUUUCACAGGGGAAAACAGAAAUUUUUUUUGGUUAUUCUCUCCCGAAUUAGGAGUAGAAUAUUUUUGGGUGGUUCUGGAGAUGGAAAAGGUUGGAUAUAUGUGGAUGCGUACUUCCAGAGUAGAAGCAGCAUGUGUGAGUGAACGUGCAAGUGAAUCUUGAUUUUAACCACAUGAUAAGCUCCUAAGGGUCUACACAGAUUGACCACACUCAAAGCUCAUAAGCAGUAAAAAGUAAAUGUGUGGCUCAAAGUCUAGCAAACAUGUAUAUAUGGCUGUGGUAGGAAUUUAAACUCUCAUCAUACAGGAACUCAUCAUGUAACAUUUUAAAGAUUUUCAAAGAAAAAUUCUCCAGAAUUCUAGCAUCUCUAGGAAUAGAUAAACAACAGCUCAACCUUCCCAUAUCAUAUCCGUUAACAACCAAAACUUUAGAUCAAGUUUUCUUCCCACAAGUUUAGGUUUAGAGCAAGCUUUAAAUUAUAACAGUUAUGUCUAAACUUGAGAGAGAACUUCAAAAUUUUGAAAAUUAGGCAGAGCAACUAUUCAUCAUAUCCAUGCUAGAGUUUUAUUAUUUAAGAUUCAGUUUAGCAUAGCCACUUUAUUUAUUUAUUAAACAAACUAAGCAAA
RNAcentral lists this long non-coding RNA (46462 nucleotides) under Sorghum bicolor (sorghum). Its description in RNAcentral is "long non-coding RNA (SBIC_LNC001410)". The stretch from base 3467 to 3573 matches the Rfam family "Plant small nucleolar RNA R71". The record is from RNAcentral. Lineage: Eukaryota; Viridiplantae; Streptophyta; Magnoliopsida; Poales; Poaceae.